RNAcentral lists this long non-coding RNA (47833 nucleotides) under Medicago truncatula (barrel medic). Its description in RNAcentral is "long non-coding RNA (MTRU_LNC001595)". The record is from RNAcentral. Lineage: Eukaryota; Viridiplantae; Streptophyta; Magnoliopsida; Fabales; Fabaceae.
AAACCACCAGUGUACAAGCCACCAGUUGAGAAGCCCCCCGUCUACAAACCUCCUGUAGAGAAGCCUCCUGUUUACAAGCCACCAGUAGAGAAACCACCAGUGUACAAGCCACCAGUUGAAAAGCCUCCGGUCUACAAACCACCUGUAGAGAAGCCACCUGUUUACAAGCCACCUGUAGAGAAACCACCAGUGUACAAGCCACCAGUUGAGAAGCCUCCGGUCUACAAACCACCUGUAGAGAAGCCACCUGUUUAUAAGCCACCUGUAGAGAAACCACCAGUGUACAAGCCACCAGUUGAGAAGCCCCCGGUCUACAAACCCCCUGUAGAGAAGCCUCCUGUCUACAAGCCACCAGUAGAGAAACCGCCAGUGUACAAGCCACCAGUUGAGAAACCCCCGGUCUACAAACCCCCUGUUGAGAAGCCUCCUAUCUACAAGCCACCAGUAGAGAAACCACCAGUGUACAAGCCACCUGUUGAGAAGCCUCCAGUUUAUAAGCCACCAGUUGAGAAGCCACCUGUGUACAAGCCCCCAGUCGAGAAACCCCCGGUCUACAAACCUCCUGUAGAGAAGCCUCCAGUUUACAAGCCACCGGUGUACAAACCUCCAGUUUACAAGCCACCAGUAGAGAAGCCACCUGUGUACAAGCCUCCGGUCUACAAACCCCCAGUUGAGAAACCUCCAGUUUACAAGCCACCGGUUUACAAGCCUCCAGUCGAGAAGCCACCAGUUUACGGACCACCUCACCACCCAUAGUACCCUCCCGUAGUUGGCACUACUCGUUUUUAAAGCAUGCUUUUAAGUAAAUAAGAGAUAUAUAAACUUUCCAAAGCAAGGAUCAUAUAUUCUUGGAAAUCUUCAAUUCAAUCUUAUGUUUACAAAUGCUAUUGCCAAGACAAGAGUGUGAAAGAAAAUGGUGCCAUUUGUACUUCAAAUUAUGAAUAAGAACGUUAUGAUUUAGUACUUCUUAUUUUGUGUUUGUUGACUAAAUUUGACAGAGUAUACUUUACUUGUUCCCUAUCAUACCAGUAAGGUGCAUGAAAGUUCAGUCUUGAACGGUGGAAAUAAAUAAUAAUUAAUUAAUGUUUGAAUCUCGAAUUUACUAAAUUAACGAACUUGUAAUUUCAUUGGAAUAUACUUGACUCAGUGGUAGCUUUAGUUUCAACUUGGAAAAUGUCCGUGAUAUGACAAUUUUUCCAAAACAAGUUUAGGUUAAGAUUUUUAUUUUUUAUUUUUGACAUAAUAUACGUUAAGAUUCUUGUGUACUAAUAGAAACUGAAAAAUCAUUUUGGUGCUUAAAGUUUAAUGAGUUGGACAAAUUAUUCACUCAAAUAUGGAAAUGAUAAUGUAGUCUCUUCAAUUAUAGAAUGCCAUUUAAUUUAGUUACCUUUUCAAAAUUAGCAUCACAAUUCGCAAGGUUUUAUAUUUGUGUUGAUGCAUCAGUUAAGAUAAGGAUCACGAAAAUUAGGUUUUUGACUUGGUUUUGAUUAGGGGUGUUUGCGGUGCGUUUUGGUUCGGUUUUGAGCAUAAAAGUCAUCUAAACCUCAAGAUAAAAAAGCAUGCGGUUUGGUUUGAUUCAGUUGAUUUUUAUAUAGUCAUCCAAACAAAACCAAACCAAACCAAUGCGGUUUGGAUUGGUUCGGUUUGUACGGUUUAUCGCGAGAUGAAAAAAUAUUACAUUAACUCUAAUAUUGCCAACUUGUUACAAAAUAAACAUAGGACAUUUUAUUUUGUUGUUUAUAUGAUAAAAUAUUAGGUAAAACUUAUAUCAAAAUAGGUAAAAUUAAGAAGAAACAUAAGCAUGAAACAAAUUAUUGAGAAGUAAAAGAAACAAAUUCAUCACUGAAAAUGAAUUGAAAGAGAUGGAAAGGAAUUAGAAUCGAACCAGAUGGUGCAACAAUGGAAAAAUCUAAUCAAAUGAGAUUAUUCUUGAGCUAUGUAAUUGGGCUAGUACAUGUUUAAGUAAUAUUCAUUAUUCUUGCGGUUUGGUUUGGUACUUGAGAUGCAAACCGCAAACCAAACCGAACCGCGCGGUUCAGUGUAAAAGUCAUCCGAGUUCAUUCGAACCAAGUGCAGUUUUUUGCGGUUUCGGUUUGGAUUGGUUUGGUUUGCGGUUUUUCUAUUGGGUUCGUUCGGUUUUGAACACCCCUAGUUUUGAUCGAUGUUUCCUGAAGAUAUGUUUUGGUAAUUGAACUAAAUAAACUGUCUUACAUUCUUCAAUUAAUGAGAUUAAAUUUCCUUUUUACAAAUAUCAAUGAUUAAUGUCAAGGACUAAAAUGAUGAUUAGUGUCGCGCCAUUUUUCGGAGGUCAAGGCCAUUUGAUUAGCUUUUGACUCACUUUUUAUCUCACGACUGAACAAAAAAUUUUUUAAAGGGGAAAAAGUUUCAAACCACCCAUUUUGAAAAGAUUUAGGGUUCAUGGGUUGGUUAUAUUUAGGGAAGGUAUUAGCACCCUAAAUAUUCGUAGUACUCUAUGAGUACCUCUUGAUUUUAUUUAACUUUUUGUGCUUAAACUUGCUUGCUUUUGAAGAGAUGAAAAUAGAAUUGAAAGAUGAGUUGAAACGAAAAAGAAAAUUGAUUUUAAUUGAAAAGAAAAAAGAAAAUUGUUUUUUAGUUGAUUUGGAAGGACAAGGUCCUCUGCCUACGUACCCGUGAGGGAUCAAAACCUCGUAGUUCGGGGUAGAAAUUGACGUUUGAUUGGUUUUAUAUUUUUUAUUAGUUUUUGAAAAAAGGUUUGAAAUAAAAAGCCAAGUGGCAAAUGAGAAUUGAUUUGUGUUUUUUGGAUUGAAGGAAAUAGACUUGAAGUAGAAUUAAAAUUGAUUUGAGAUUUGAUUAAGAAAGAAAAUAGAAAUAGCGAUCACUUCAUUGAAAGUCAAGGUUUGUUAUAAAAAUAUUUUUUUGUGAUUUUUUGAUAUUUGGAUGUUUUUGCCGUUUUUGAAUAAUGAAUGAAAAUUAAACUAACAGAGCAAUGAAAAUAAAAGUGCGUGGGCGUGAAGAAAAGAUUUUGGUUUAUGUUAGUUCGACAAUAUAAAUAGUAUUUAAUAUAUGUUGUGUUCACUUUGGAUAUUAUCGGACAAAAUUUUGACAAUAAUAAAAAUAAUAAUAGUAAAAUAGAAUAAAAAAUAGAAAGACUAAAGUGAAUCAAAAUGAGAUAAAAAGAUAAAUAUUUAAAACGGAUUUAAAGUUAAUAAAAGAUGGAAACUAAAAUUAAAUGAAAUUUGAAAAUUGAGAGAAGAGGGUCCGACUUGGAACCAAAUAUGAGGUAUUUUAAAAUACCUUCCUAUCGAAAUUUUGUUCGAAAGGCUGAGACCGGUCGGAGUUAAAUGACACGUGUCAGUGCUGCCUUAGGUCAAAAAUUGGGGUAUGACAAUUAGCUCAAUAAUUAAUUAUUGUGAUUUCUUCAUUUUAUAUUUAUAUUUAAGAAUAAAAAAAAAAAAAUGACGAUAUCAACUUUGACACAUUACAUAUUCAAUCAAUGUUGACUUGACCAUCAAUGCUACAUAUCCGGAUGUAAGAGUAGUUCGACGAGUUUAUUUUUGUCACUUUUGUUGAUAUUUUGUUGGUUUAUGCUAUUAACUUGCAUCUAGUAAACUUGUUCAUAGCUUCAUCAUUUUCAGUUUUAGUGACAUGAUAUUUGUGUUGUAUUCAAUGUGAUUUACCGCGCGAUAUGAAUAAUAUAUAUUUUUAGUCAAAAUUAAUCAUGUCGGACCUGAGAUCUUUGGUUUGAUGGCGUUGAACGACCUUUGAGUAAGACAAUGUUAAACCAAAAUGAGUUUUAUACAAUGCCUCUGAAGUUUUGAUAAUAACAAAGUAUAAAAAGAACAAUUGAAUAUGCCAAUGUUGUUCAAGUAUGCUCGACCAUAUAUUAAAAUUCAAAGUAUUAAAUCAAGUUUUGAUUCUGAAAGAACAAGAUUAUGAACAUAUACAAGAGCAUCUGCAACUUAUGAGAAGCUGGAAAUUUGGAUCAGACUCUGAAUAAGUAAGACUGUGAAAGUCGGGAGUGUAACACCCUGAACCCCACAUACUAUUUUUAAAAGUAAUAAUUCAACAUUUAAAUAAACAUAUCAAGAUGUUACUCUUCAUUUUCAACACAUAACAAGUCUCCAUCUUAAAAUAUCAACUCACAGCGGAAAUAAGUCUCAACAACACAAAUGUCAUACAUCAUAUCUCAGAAUAAGUACAUCAUCAAAAUAAACUCAAGGUUCCUCAAACAUAAUAUGAUAACAUAAAUAAAAUCCCAACAUCCUAAUCAGAGAACCACUAGACAAGACUCCAAAAUCAAAGCGGUAAAAGAUGAGUAGGCUGCAAGCCGUCCUCGGAAACUCAUGGUAACUUUGCGUCCUCAACCUGCAAGUCUCCACCACAAGGGCGUAGGCGACCAUUUGCCAAACGUAGGGUAAGAUAUAAAUUUAACAUAGAGGAAAUAUGAACACAUAUAUAGUAUUAGGAUCGCAACAUCAUAUACAAGUAUUCAUCUUAAGCAAUACCAUAUUAACAUGCAUUCUCAUUGAUUGGUAAAAUAUACACAACAAAUCUCAAAUCAUCAUCACAAGAAUAUAAAAAAGUAAACACAUCAUUGAUUAAUCAUCCAAUGGAAUACAUAGGAUUCACACAUUAUCACUUUCAUUAAAUCACACAUUUUCCAUAAAAUACACAUAGUCAUGUAUGCAUCUUUCACAUAGAUUCACAUAGUCAAGUACUCAUCUUCUACAUAGACUCUCAUGUACGAAAUGUUCCUACUCGACUUUAUAUGCAUGUGGUACUGUUUUCGAUAUCAGAGGUAUUUUCUGAGUGAUUUCACCGUCACUUGGACUGACCAUGAAUGCAUGAACAUCUCAUCAUGACUCGACAAUGCAUAAUUCAUAUAACUCGACAAUUUACAUCAACAACAUCAUCACAUCGUAUAUUAAUUCAUCGUCGCUAUAUCAUCAUCAUCAUCAUCAUCAUCAUCAUCAUCAUUUUCAAUGUCAUUAUAUCAUCAUCAUCAUCAUCAUAUCAACAUCUAUAUAUAGUUCAAAUCAUCAUGUCAAACCAUAUCAAUAUGUAUCCACCUCGUCUCGCAAUCACAUUCACAGUCAUCAUCAUUAUAUAUUCAUAAGACAUUAUUCUACAUCAUCAAGUAUACUUCGUUAAUCAUCUAACAAGUUCACAGUCAUUUCAUGAUUCAAUUAUAAUUAAAUCACAAGUUUAUUUCUAACCAUUUCAAUUGCUAAGUUUACUUCCAUCAUAAGCUAGGUUAAUUACUCUUACACAUCAAAAUUAUACUUCUAUUAAUCAAGUUUAGAGGUUUGUGACAUAUUCACAUGCAUUGGAUACCUUAAAAUACCAAAAAUAUGAGUUUCCCACUAUAGGGAGGGUUGCACGGUAGUGCCAUCCAGGUGCACAGUCGUGCUCAUCAUGCAGGUAGGGAAAAGCUAUAAUUUUUGCGUUUUGCUCAGGAAGAACCCCUUUCAACACCAUUUUUCGAUCCAAUUCACACCAAACUAGACCCAAAUCAUAAAACUAAUGUUGUCUAAUCAAUUACACAUUAAUUUUACCUUAACUAACUUUAUUAUACUCAUUAUUAUCGUCAAUUAACAUGAACUUCAAUUGUUUUAAACUUAUCACUUCAAACCCAUUUUUAACAUGGUAAUUCAAACCCCAAACAUAGUAACAACCAAAUCAACAUCCCUUAUUCAAAAUGAACACAAAAAAAUUCAUCAAUUCACAUUAUAAACAUCAACUCAACAAUUAUCAACAAUUAUCAUGAAUUUCACCAAUUUCACAUAAAACUCAAAAACCCUAAUUCACCAUAAUCAAACAUUGAUUUUAACACAACUGUUAGGUUUGUAGUCUUGACAUGUUGGUGCGACAUCAUAGCGUGCCUUGUUCCGAUUUCUUGGAGAUUGUAUUUAAAUGUGAAAUCGCAGAAGAAAACUAAACGCAUCACAACUAAGAAAAGGUAGAAUAAAACCUUUCUACAAACAAAGCGCACAUCACUUGAAAGCAAAAUAAAUACGCAACUAAAUUUCAAAAAAGAUAUGCAUAAAUUAUCAUAGAAUAAGGCACCAAGUAACACGUUCUUACGUCUCAGAUUACCAAAUGGCUCUCCGAAAAAUAACCAGAGUAUGAUAAAAUUACAGAUUUCCCAAAACAAAAGGAACAUAAACUAAAAUACAAAGCACGAAAACAAAGAAGACACAACAACAUAACUCUUCAUCCACUAACUUUCCAUCAACCAAAAUCUUGGAGGGGUCCAGCUCGCUCACAUUAUCAUCAGGGUUAAAAUGCAGAACUUGCGCCCUAGUAUGCUCAAAGCCAUUGUCAAAAUAUAAGGCAAGAUCCCCCUUGCCAUCCUCAACGACGAAUUGAGCUUUGGCGAGAUCCCCUUACAACUAGACGACCUUCUUCUUCCAUGAAUCUCUCUCCAGCUCAACAACUUCUUUUUCAUCCUUCAUAUCUUUGGUCGUCUUCUCUGCAGUCUUCUUAUCCUCCAAGGCUUCCUUCAACCUACUUUCAAGACCCGUUGCUUUAUGCUUCCACUUCUCCACAUCUUCAUGAGCGUCUUUAUACUUUGCCUCUAAAGCACCAUGUUUCUUCUCCAUCACUUUUCCUAAUAAAAGGACCCGGAGCACUAAUAUUCUUGUAUCCAUUACUAGCUCGCCAAAUUUGCUUUUAACGCCAGCAUCAACGUCAACCUUAGACAGUGGCACUUUAUCCUCCAUGUAGCUACGAUAAACGCAUGACUUAAAAGUUGAAAACCCACUAACAUUACUAGAAUUUAAGUAAAAUCUCAUCAUCAAAUUAAACUCUCAUACCUACGAAAGUCGAAAUCUUUAUGCCAAAAAGAGUCAGCCACCUGAACAUUCAGAGAAAUGGUUCCCGCCACCCCGCUAGCAUAAUCAUCAUCCUUCCGACUGGCAACAAAUGUCCGCUUCGAGUCGCCCUUCCCAGUCCUCAUCUUCUUGCGUCUGGGCGAGUCAGUUUGCUCAGCCAGUACCCCAUUGCCUGCCGUCUCCAUGUUAUCAAUGUCCAUAUCCGAAUGUAACAUCCUAAAAUUUUAAGUCUAUAUUCAAAUGUAGUUAAAAAUAUAAAACAUAAUAGUGUAAUUAUUUUAAAAUACGCGAAGAUAAAAAUAAAGACAAAUAAAUAUGAUAUAAUUUCUUAUUAAUAAUUAAAUUUUAUUGGAUAAAAAGAAAAGGAGAAAGAAAGAAAAACAAAAAUAAAGGGAGUGCAAAUAACAAUUAUUUUUAGAAAAGAAAAAAAAAGUUAUAUACUUUCUCGAAUUUUUUUUCUGCCCUUGUUUAUGCAAAAAAAUACAAAAAUGCCCCACUUUUUCGAAAAAUUGCGUAAAUGCCCUACUUUUUCAGAAGCCCCUGGUACUACUCCACUUGGAGUUGCGGGGUACCCUAAAAAGUCACAAUUUUUUUGUCCUUAUUGUACGCCGCUACUUGGACUUGCGGGGUACUUUCCUACUUUUUUUUUUCCACUUUUUUUACUACCCCGCGAGUCUUAGCUUUUGCUUUUUUUUUUAAAAUUUUUUUUUUUUAAAUACCCCUCUACUUGGAGUAGAGUGGUAUAAUGAAGACAAAAAAAAUUCAACGUGUAAUAAUUACUCUCAAAUAAUAAAAAACUAAUUAAAAUUAUAUAACCAAUAAAAUACCAUCUACAAUGAUUAUAAAUGCCCGGCUGUCCCACACCUUCGUCUUCGACGAUCUCUUCCGCGAUUUACUUGAGGGUUAUGUUGGUCUUCGUCAUUUUUAUUUGUAGUUGAUUGUAUCUGACUACCAUAACCCAGUGACAACGACACAUCGUGUUCUCUUGUUGGCCAUCCCAUAUCCAGAAAUUGUUCAUUGGAGUUCAACGAAGUCGGAGAGAAGUGAGAUAAUAGGUUUGUUGGUGUUGGUGGGUGGUUGUAGUUUUGGUUGGUGUACAUUGGGUAUUGUGGGUUGUUGUAGGGGGGUAAUUGGUGUUGGACGGUCCAGCUUGGUUUGGGUCAUUAUAGGAGAAGUAGUUGUUGUUGGAUGUGUUAGCUUGGUUUGGUUCAUUGUAACCAUAAUUUGUCAUUGAAUUUUGUUGGUAAGUUGACUGAUAUUGGGGCUCAUAUGCAUUUCUCGGGGAGGUAUAUGGUGGUGGUUGGAUGAUAUUUUGUUGGGGGGUGUCGAGAAAUUCAUACAUUACAGAACCAUGAAUGUUUUGUGUUGUAUGUGGUUGGGAUUGAUGAUCUUGUAGUUGAGAAAAAAUGUCUUGAUCCCAAAAAUCAUCAUGAAUUGGUGUUUGGUUGUUGUGAAUUUCAGGUUCAUGUUCCGGCUCCGGCUCUUCUUGUUCGUCUGGAUCUGAAUCUGAUGGUUUUGUCUCAACUGAAAUCCUUAGACGUGGGUUGCAUGUGGUUGUCAACCACUCAAUAUACGCAUGAGUUGGGGUGAGUGAUCUUGGCCGCAUGUGAGGUAAAAUAUAACUCCGUCGGUUGUCCCAAUGUAAGCUCUCUUGUGGAAAGUGAAAACCAUUUGAUUGGUACCACAUCUUGAACCGUUUGUCCACUAUAUGGAAUUGUCGCAUGUCUCGUGGGGCCCCUGGUAUUUCCUGUGGCAAACCAAAUUCUAGCUUGACCCUAUCAGUUGGAUGCCAUUCAACUCUGUCAAAACAUAUAAGGUGAGUUGUUGCAGUCCACUCCCAAUAGUCUUCAGGAAAAUUGUGUGGAACAUUCUUGUAUGGUCUCCAUUUAAACUGGCAGAAGAGAGAAGUUGUAGUGUAAGGUUAACAAUUUUGAUAUAUAUAUAUAUAUAUAUAUAUAUAUAUAUAUAUAGUUCGAUAGGUGAAAUAUAUAUUCAUUAUUAAUUAAAUAACUCCUAAUUAAAUACUUGUAAAAAAACUCAUGAUUAAAUAAAUAAUUAAUUUAUAAUCGCGACAUUUUUUUAGUCCUAUAUUAAUUGCAUGUCCUACUUUUUUUUUUCUUACAAAAGAAAGUUAACAUAUAGCUUUUUAUUUCUUUACGACCAUGAAAGUGUUAAUAUGUAGCUUAAAUAACAAAAUAUCUUAAUUAUAUUUAAUUAGACCAUGAAAGUUAGUUUACCCUUGAAAUUACAUAAAAAAAAAAUUACCGUUCAAUAUAUAUAUAUAUAUAUAUAUAUAUAUAUAUAUAUAUAUAAACUCAUACAUUCAAAAAUCAAUUAUAAUAUUACUUGAUGUUCCAGUAUGUCAUCAAACUUUUUUCUGUAAGAUAUAGUGUCAUGGCUUGGAUUCUCGUAGUAUCUUGAACCUGCACCUGUCCAUCUAACAAAUGAUAUAAACAAAUUAGUAGCUAAUUUAUCAAAUAAUAAUAUUAAUAAGAAGCGAGAAUAUGCGAGGAAAUUAACAAAAAAAAUAAAUAAAUUAAUUGACCACGAUUACUUUAAUCCUAGCGGCUACUGGAGUGGGUUAUCAUUUCUCGGAGCGAUAUAACUCAACCGACAAUAUCCCCAAACUUGUAACAGAAAAUGACAUCCAGAUAGUGCUUUUAUAUUUGGGUGUGAUGCCUCACACAAGCCACGAUAAAGGUAAGCCAAAACUGCCGAUCCCCAACUAUAAUUUCUUGUUUCAUUAAAAUCCAUUAACAAAUACAACCAAGAGUUGUGCACAAAUAAUCCAGUUGUAUUAGGAAACAAGAACCCUCCAAAGAGGUAUAGUAGGUACCUCCUGUGUGUUGUAUUUUUACCUCCGGAGGAGAUUGUUCACUGAAGUUAUUAUCGACCAGAUUAUCCUUUAAUCACGACAACGAGAGAGUAAAACCAUCAGUUUUGUGUGCUGGAGGAGUUAUUCCCAACAAUUGAGCACAAUUAUUCCACAGAAGAUUUGGAGGAGCCGUAACAAUUGGUCCUCCAAAAGGUAAGCCGAGUAAAAUAUAUACGUCUUCAAACGUGAUUGUACAUUCACCCGUUCGAAAAUGAAAAGUAUGUGUUUCGGACCGCUAUCUUUCUACAAGAGUGGUUACGAUGUGCCUAUCAAUUUUGUAACGCCCUAUUUGAGAAACCUCAAAAAAUCCAGCUUGACGUAGAUAAUCUUCAAUAUAAGGACUUGGUAUGAUGUUUUGCCGUGUACGAGUGGUUAGAGGUGCACCCUCUGCAUCCUAACAAAAAAUAAUAAAGGAAUAAAAUUAAAACAUAAUCAAAAUAUAAAUUUAAAAAAACGUGAACAUAUUUAAAUUAAUAUUAAAAAAUAAAAAUGACAUUAACAAAUUAAUAUCUAUAUAUACCCAUCUUCUUAUAUGUUCUUCCAUGGAUCUAUGAUCAUUUUCCAACCACAAGUAUGCCAUUGCUUUAUAGAAUUUGAUUGAAAUAAUCUCUUAUGUGAGUGAGUAAGGAAAGGAUUGAGAUAAGUAGAAUAUGUGUAAAGAGUAAAAAUAUAGUUGUGGUAUUUAUAAUGUAAAACUAUGUGUAAAUGGUAGAAGUAGUAGUGUGGUAUUUUAAUCAAUGAAGUGAAGAGUUCCUGUGUUACUACUGCAACGCAUGCAAGCCAACAGUGUUCAAAUAAACAUAGAAAUGACAAUUGCAUCAAUAGCAGAAGCAUGGUGUUCAACAAUAUUGAAUUAAUUCGUAAACUUUGCCUCAUGAGAUGACCAUUGCAUGUAAAAAAUACAUUAAUUUCUUGCAAGAAAUUUUUGACUGAAAUGACCAAUGCAUGUUUUGAUCACGUGAAGCAUGCUAGCAAACAAAUGGCCGACAAGCUGCCUCUGAAUAACCAAUAGGAACGGCGCGUGCAAAUACUACCCCGCCACUCUGGGUUGCGUGGUACCCCCAGCUGGCGCAUGCUUUACAUACCCCGCCACUCCAGCUUGCGUGGUACCCCCCAGCUGGCGCGUGCUUUACCUACCCCGCUACUCUAGCUUGCGUGGUACCCUCUAGCCCGCUAGUCCAAACUGCGUUGUACCUUUUUUAAUUUUCCCGCUCGAAGGGCAGAUUAAAUUACAUGUUAGUAUAAAUAAAAGUGGUCUGCAUGAUAUCAUUGUAUCAAACCAUUCUACUUCAUACUCUUACUCAUUUCUUAAGAUCAAACCAAUUCAAUGGCACCAAAUAUAAACGUUUUUGUGUACUAUAAUGGAGAAGUUAAACAAAAUGAAUCCGGUAUUUUUUUUCAAAGUCAGUAUACCAAAGGUUUUAAAGUCAGCAUGGCUAGUACUUACUUGCAUCUCAAAAGAAGAAUUGCGGAAAAAGUAUGUCUCGAAGAUAAUAUGGUUGUGUCUGAAAUUAUGUGUCGGAAUCCUAUGUUUGUUGGAACUACCACAAUUCAUUACCAGGCGUUAAGAAUAACUGAUAACGACGAUGUCGAGUUUAUGUUUAACGUACAUAAAAGUCACAGUUCUUUGUCCUAUAUAGAGCUUUAUGUUACGUUUGAGAUGAAGAAUCCAACAUCUAAUUUUGAGUUAAAUUACCCAUCGAGUUCUAGUCAACACCAAAGUCUACCACAACACUACAAUCCGUCAUCGUCGCAAGAACACUACAACCCAUCAUCGUCCCAACCGCACUAUAACCCGUCUCCCAUUUAUGAUGCAUCCUUAUCGCAACCUUUUCAGUCAAAGUGGUCACAAAAUGUGUACGAACCAUCACAAAUAAUAACUCAACCUCAUCCCUCUCAAACACCAUCUCGUUCAACACAACCCAAAACCUUAAACGAUGAAAUCAAUAUAUUCACCUCCCAAUUUCAAGACCAACCAAAUGAUGAAGUUCAAGAUGAUGAAGACGAUGAUGAUGAAGAACUCCUUGCCGCACAAAACGGUGACGAGAACGAAGAAGACGAAGACGACGAUCUGCCACUACUACCAAUUUUACCAAUCAGAGCUUCUUACAACCCACCAAGGUCCAUGCGCAACGUCAAUGAUGACCACUCAACUGAACUUUAUCAUUCAAUGGCUCUUCCGGUCGAUCAAGGUAUUGCCCUAGGGAUGCAAUUUCAUAACAAGAAUGAUUGCAUUCUCGCAAUUAAAUUUUAUCACAUGAAAAAAUCAACGGAUUAUAUUGUGAAAAAAUCAGAUCCUGAAAGGUAUGUCAUCAAAUGUAAAGAUACAAAAUGUGGUUUCAAAUUGCGGGCCUCGUGGAGGAAAAAAACUGAUAAAUGGGAGAUUGGGAAAAUGAAUGAUCAUACAUGUGUCUCAACAGAAAUGACGCAAGAUCAUCAUAAACUUAGUUACAAUGUGAUAUGUGAAAGUGUUAAAUCACUACUACAUAUGGAUACUUCAAUUACAGUGAAGGUUAUAAUUGCACACAUCCGAGAGAAGUUUAAUUACACAGUUUCAUACAGAAAGGCAUGGAGAGCACGGAAUAAGGCGAUUAAAUCAAUUUAUAGUAAUUGGGAGGAGUCUUAUGAAGAACUACCACAAUGGUUGAUGGUCAUGGAAAAAGAUUUGCCAGGAACAAUAAUUGAUUUUCAAACGGACCCAUCAACAGAAGUGGCAAAUGAGACCGUCUUCAAGCGUCUUUUUUGGGCCUUUCGUCCGUGCAUCUCAGGUUUCGAAUUCUGCAAACCAAUUGUCCAAAUUGACGCAACUUGGUUGUAUGGUAAAUACAAGGGAACAUUGUUGUUAGCUGUUGCGCAAGAUGGGAACAACAAGAUAUUUCCCAUAGCUUUUGCAAUCGUGGAAGGCGAGACCAAGGAGGCAUGGAGUUUCUUUUUGAAAAAUUUAAGGCAGCAUGUCACCCCACAAGAGAACAUAUGCCUCAUUUCUGAUAGACAUGUGUCGAUAAAGAGCGCGUAUGAUGAUCCACAGAAUGGAUGGCACGAUGCUCCGACAAGCCAUGUUUAUUGUGUCCGACACAUUGCACAAAACUUUAUGAGAUCAUUCAAGGAUGGAGAACUAAAGAAGAAAGUUGAAUGCAUGGGUAAAAAUCAUAUCUCUUUCCACGUAAAUUCGACAUUUUAUUUGUUUAAAAUGACACAUCUAACUUUUUUCAAAACAAUGCAGGUUACGCCAUGAACAUCCCUACAUUCGAAUACUACCGUUCUGAAAUUGCUGUUGCAGACCGAAAGGCUUUAGCAUGGGUCGACAAUAUUCCCAAACAAAAGUGGACUCAAUCACAUGAUGAUGGUCGACGAUGGGGCCAUAUGACAAGUAACUUGGUAGAGUCACAAAACAACGUGUAUAAGGGUAUUCGAGGACUUCCGAUCACAGCUAUCGUGAAAGCAUCAUAUUACAGGUUGGCGGCCUUGUUUGCUAAAAGAGGACAUGAGGCAGCGGCAAGGGUAAAUUCUGGUGAGCCAUUCUCAGAAAACAGCAUGAAAUAUCUCAGGAAUGAGGUGAUUAAAUCCAACAGUCAUCAUGUCACACAGUUUGACCGGGAUCGGUAUACCUUUUCCGUCCGUGAAACCAUCGACCAUAAAGAAGGAUUGCCAAAGGGAGAAUACAAGGUGGACCUGCAAAAUAAAUGGUGUGACUGUGGACGAUUCAGAGCGUUACACCUACCAUGCUCACAUGUCAUUGCCGCAUGUUCUAGCUUUUCUCACGACUACAAGACUUUUGUCGAUAACAAAUUCACGAAUGAGUGUGUAUACGCCGUAUACAACAUCCACUUCGACGUGGUUCACCACCAGACAUAUUGGCCUAAUUAUGAAGGACUGAAGGUGGUUCCCAACAAGUCCAUGUGUAGGGUAAAGAAAGGUCGUCCACCAAUUACUCGCAUUAGGACCGAGAUGGACGAUGUGGAAACUGAGAGAAGAUGCGGCGUUUGUAGGAUGCCUGGUCAUUCCCGCAAAGAUUGCAUUAAUAUUAGACACCAGUAAAAAUCUAGUCUUUAUUUCGUUUGUAGGAUGUAUGGUCAUUUCCACAAAUAAUUGUAGAUUUUAUGGUAUUUUAUUGGUUAUAUAAUUUUAAUUAGUUUUUUAUUAUUUGAGAGUAAUUAUUACACGUUGAAUUUUUAUUUUUUUUUGUCUUCAUUAUACCACUAUACUCCAAGUAUUUAAAUUUUUUUUUAAAAAAAGCAAAAGCUAAAACGCAAGUCCAACUUGCGGGGUAGUAAAAAAAGUGGAAAAAAAAAAGGAAAGUACCCCGCAAGUCCAAGUAACGGGGUACAAUAAGGACAAAAAAUUUGUGACUUUUUAGGGUACCCCACAACUCCAAGUGGAGUGGUACCAGGGGCUUAUGAAAAAGUAGGGCAUUUGCGCAAUUUUUCGAAAAAGUGGGGCAUUUUUUUAUUAUCUUUGCAUAAACAAAGGCAGAAAAAAAAAAUUCUACUUUCUCCCCACGUUUUCUCAAAAUUUGUUUCUAAAAUAAUAAUAAAAAAAGAAAUAGUUAUUUCAGAAAGAGAAACCGUGUGAUAUUUUUUAAUUAGUGUACACCUACACUUCUCAUGUGCCUAUAAAUAAGAUGCUUAGUUGAACAUAAACUCACACUACAAAACUCUCCUCUCUCUAAAAAAUCAGGUUAGUUCUCUCUCUCUCUCUCUCUCUCUCUCCUUUUCUGAACUUUCUCUAUUCAAUCUAUAGUCAUUCUUUAUUCUUUUGAAAGAGACAAGAUUUACUACUAAAAUAACCUCAGAUUUGGUCCCCACAACCCUUCUUUUGGGAAGAACAACAACAUAGUAUACCCUUCUUUUGGGAAGAACAACAACAUAGUAUUAGAAUGUUCUUUUAUCAGAUGAGAAAGUGACAGUAGUUUAGUUCUUUUCAACCUAAUCAAACCAUGAAAAUAGUUUAGCUCUUUUCAACCAUUCUUUUUCAACAGAAACAUCAUUCAAUAAAAUAAAAUAAAGAGAUCUCAGAUCUGUUUUAGACUUUUAGUAGAAAAAAUUACACGAUUUAAUUAUUGUAUUUUUUAUACUGAUACAAACUAUGAAGAUUGAAACAAAGUUCAUAAGAAAGUUGAGAUCUUGUUUAAUUCAUAUUUUUAGUUUAAAGAAAAAUAAAGAAAUGAACAUUGUUUUAAGAAUGACGUAAUGACUAUUAAAUGGCUUUUAAACAUUCUGACUAUAUAAAAAGGUAGUAACAUAAGUUUCAUUUGAAAUAAAAUAAAAUCAAGCUAUUAUUAAAAUAUAUCUAAUAUAAUCUGAAGAAAAAAAAAGGACGUGAUACAGAGAAACAAAGGAAUUAGAAAACUUUAACUCGUUAUCUCUAUUAUUAUGACCUUGAUAAUGACUAUAGUCUAAUAGAUAGUUUAUUUUGGGUGAGUAUUCUAGGUGAUAUUGGAGCUGCUUUCGACGGAAACAAUAUUGCAACCACUUGCGAAGAAUCCGAAGGUAAGGGGAAUUACUACUAAUAAAUUUUAAAGAUUUUGCAUAAGUUAUGUGCUUAAGUGAUUAUAUGUGAGUAAAUAACUCUACUUGUGAGAGUUAAUUUCUCGAUGAUGUGGUAAUUUCUAGCGAUCAAGUACAUGUCAAAGGACAUCGACUUAUAUGUGUUUUAGUUAAUAUAAUUAGGAGUUUUUGAAAAUAUAAUACAUAAGUAGAAGAAAAAGUUUUGUAAAUGAUGAAUUGAUUAGAUAGUUAUAUUAUGUUUAUUUGGUAUUACUCUUGUGUAAGUGAAUGAGCAUAUGAAUUUCAAUAAGUGUUAACUGAUUUCGAUGAGUGAAAUUAGUUGGAAAUAUAUGAUUUAAAGUGUCAAUUAUGAUUCGACGCGAUAAUUUAUAAUGUUAAUCAUGAUUAAAAACUUCUCUAUAAAAAGAAAUGAUCUAAGAGAGAUAGUUGUAUCCCACCUCAUUAAUUUUAUGGUAUCAACUCAUAGGUAUGUUGUAAAGGAAAGAAACUUAAGAAUGCCAAACUAUGAUCACUAACUUAGUACGUAGACAUAGUAUAUAUAGUUAUAUUGUACGUGUAGGAAAUUCUUUAAAACAAAUGUAUAUGUGCUUUUUAACUAGGCAACAUGAAUUAUUCUUUGUUAAAAUCUCAUGAAUAAAAAGAACAUGUACUAGUUUAAUUGAAUUACCUAAGUUCUUACUUACUGCUGAAAUUUCUAUGCUUAUAAAUAAAUGAAAAAGAACAUAUGCUGGUCAUUAAUUGUUCAGUUAUUAUGUACUGGCUUGAUUUACUUGCUGGAAUUUCUAUGCUUAUACAUAAAUGAAGAGGGACAUAUGCUGGUUAUUAUUUGUUGAGUUAUUAUAUACUGGUUUGAUUUACAUCACUGUACUAAUUGAAUAAAAUUCUGAUGUGGCUAAUCAAUUUUAUAAACAUAAAUGGUUAAUUGUUUGACAUUGUUGAGUUGAAUAUGAGUGUUUUGUCUUGUCUAGAAAGUAGGGACAAUUAAGGAGCUAUAACAGGUCCCUAUACACUCAGGUGUAGAUGAGAAUGAGGAUAGUUAUGGUUUGGUUACUUUGAGGAUCUAUCGAGGGCACUUGUGUUUCGAACGCCUAUCAAUAGUUGGGGAUUGCUUCCCGGCUGAAAGUACUCGUACUACCAGACACGGUGAGCCUGAAAAAACUAGACUAUCUAUGAUAAGGUAGUGCGAUCGGACUAGAAUGAUUAGAGUUUAAGCAUAUCUUGCUCAAAAUACUAAUAAUCAUGAUAUAGUUGCCGAAACGGCCUUAUGCUCAUUAGAGUGGAACCUCCAUGGAGUAGUGAAUUAUGAGAAGAAAAUAAACUAGAGUCAAGAAAAAAAAAGUCAAAAGAGUUCAUGCAUGUGUCAUGUUGAAUGUCAAACUAUUAAUUCAAAUUGGACCUCUUAAAAGAUAGUUUUUUUUUUUUUUUUUUUAUAAUAUGCUUUGUGAUUGUUGUUGGACAGUGAAUGAAAAGAAAAUAUUAUAUCUAUGUAAAUAUCAUUUUACCUUGCUGUAUAUAUAUUAUUUUCUUUUUCCUUAUGUAAUAAAUCACGUGGAAAACUUGUGUACGAGUAAUUCACCCUUCUUUGUUUGUUUUUGUAUCUUGUUGUUUUUUUUGGGUAUGUUCGGACGUUUUUAUAGAUGAUGCCAGAAAGACAUUUAGCUCACUCGGGAACCCGCAUGAUCGAGUUCCUUGAGGUAUUUUCUUUUGCAACACUUAUUAAAGAAGAAAGUAAUAAUAAAUCAAAACACUCACACAAAGACGCCUCAAGACUAUUGGAAUCACCCUAUCGUAUCAAAAGCUCAUGAAUAUCCAUAAGUAAAAACUUCUCCAAAAAGAACACCAUACCCUACUCAUAGGGUGCCAUCUUAUUAAAAUCAUACCCCAUCACUGCAAUCGGAGCAAUGAUCCAACAUAAAGGAAACUUUGGUUUUCCUUCCACCAUCACCAACGAAGUUGAGCCCUCAGGCUCUCCUUGCACCCUAACAAACGAAUCACACCAAUCCUUCUUAAAGUUAGAAGCAUAAGGAGGGAAAAGUUUUUUACUAGGAUAGGCACUAAUUGAAACCCACAUUCCCUUGUUUACAUCUUUCGUCCUAUAAAAAUGGAAGAAGACGCCAACAGAAGGCUCCAAACUCAUCCUUACAAAGUAGUUUGAAUCCACGAAUAAACGCCUAGCUAUUAGGACGUAUUUGCGAAGGCGCCACAUUCAGAAACUUUAGCACAUCCAUCUCAAAAUCCGUAAAGGGUCGUCACCCCAAACUCUUCCAACACCGUCAUAUACAUAAGAAAGGAAUCAUCCCUGACACCCUCCAAACGCUGAUCGCACACUCUCUCGCCUACAUCACAGGGCGACACUGUCACAUCUUUCUCGUUCUCAGUAGCAGAAGUAUCCAUCUUGUUUCAGAAUAAAUUGAUAUCCGAAGGCGACAUAUAUGAAAACACCGCUCGAAGAACUUCUUCAGCUAAAUGAUUCAUCUCCAACUCAUAAGAAUACGUCAAACACAUAAUCUCUUUUUGAGUAGACGGAAGAGGCAUAUAAUGACAAAUCUCUUGACAAGUUUUCCCCCUACGACAAAUCACUAUCACUACCAUUAGAGCUAUCGCUACUAGUGUUGCUAUCAUUGGACAAUUCCCCUAAAACCCUACGAUAAAAAAGCCCUAAUUCGUAAGCUUCCCAAUCAAUCAAGUCAUUAGGAUGUGUUGCAUGUCUUAAAGAAUCUCUCCUCAGUUGGUCUCUCUCAUCAAAAUUCGUAGGAGAGAAGGCGAAAAAUGAGAGAAGGAAAAUGGAAGAGUACUUGAGAAGAUUGAAAACGUGAGCUUAGAAAUCCAGACAAUCAGCUGGCAAGUGCGCGAAUACGGAGAACUAAAAGGCGAAAAAUGCGGAAGUGAAAUGAGGAAAGGAAGGAAAUGAAGGGUCAAAGAGUUUUAGAGGACAACAACAAUUAAAACCCCCUCAAAAAACACGCUCAUCCUUGGCACGAUUGGAGACACGUGUCAAGAUACACCCAGAUUCGAACACGUCACUAUCAUCGAAAGGUCACACAUUUUGGACCAUACAAUCAUGUUAAAAAUGAAAGAUCUCGUCGAUAUAGAAUUUCAAAAAACUCGUUGCCAACUCCUCAAACAGGAAACUUACUCGCCGUGCUGUUACAAAUCACUUCGCCUUGUCCCAAGACUCGUGGUUGGGGGCUGUGAACAAACAUCAGGCAUAAAACGCAUGACUCGACUAGCACACACCCUAGGGGGCUCUAGGAUAAAGCAUAAUCACCCAAGGGGGACUCUGUAAGCUCCAACAACAACAUCCAAAGACAUACACAAAAAAUACUGAUAAACGUAAAAUAAAUUCCAAAUGCUAAUUAAUCAUUUCGCCUUGUCCCAAGACUCGUGCUUAGGAGGCUUUGGACCGUCAAUAUCUUCUUAAGGACCUAGAAGUCCUCCCAAAGGGCAUUUAGACCCUCCUAGAUGCCUAACACCCUUCAAAAGGGCUCUAAGGCCCAACACGCGCCCUUCCUAGGGAGCCGCCUCUACCAGCUUCUAAAACCUCCAAAGCUCGGCCUAAAUACCUAAUACGAUUACAAACCCUAAUACCUCAUUACGUAUAGCUUAAGAACCAUAAAUCAGGCCAAUAGAGGGCUAUAAAUACAACCUUUGAGAGCCUUCUGAAGGCAUGACCAAUACAUUACAAACCCUAAUACGAUUAUUGUACUUUUGCAAGUACAAUGAGGAAGGCGAUAUUGACAGGGAAAGUUUCCACCUAAUUUGGGCUAAAAACAUGGACUUUUGGGGGUAAAAAAGUCACAAAAAGUGACUUUUUUCGCAAGGAGCAGGGCGCCUAGCGCAUAAUGGCAUGCACCUAGCUCAUGUUCCUGCUAGGCUGAGGCGCCUAGUGCCCCUUUCAUGCGCCAGACGCUUCAGUUGUUUAGCUUAGGGGCACCUAUUGUGCACCUGGGUGCAUAAGUGCCUUUUCAGUGCCUUUUCAGUGCUGUUUUUCUUGUUUUCUUUGCCUUUUGAGGUGUUUUCUUCAAUGUAAGAUGUCUUGGAACUUGAGAACAAAAUUCCUUCCUUUGUAAAGACUUCUGAGGCAUCUUGAAUCUUCAUUAUUCAUCUUCCCAAGGUCCACAUAAAUCUUCAAAUGUCUUGCAUUGUCUGAUUUGCUUGAUUUCUUCGUGAAUUACUUCAACAACACCCUAAAAUUGCUAUUUUUCAGGAAGAAUAGAAUUACAAACUCAAUAUAAAAUACAUUACAAAUGUACCGAAAUCAUAGGCAAUUGAUCAAAUACUCUUCUUCUUUGCUGGUAAAACCUACUGAAAUUGACUGAAAAAUGUAACAGCCCUAUUUUCGUUAGAUUUAUUUUAAUUGUUUUAAUAUGUGUUUAUUUAUGCUUAUGUGUGAUUAUUAUCAUUGGGUGCAUUUUUAUGGGUUUUCGUGUUGGAAGGAUAAUUUAGUAAUUUCAUGUAAGGAUUAUUUUUAGUGUUUCAAGUGAGAACCAUUAUUUACUAAGUUACUAGUGUGGUAAUUAGUUGUGAGCCGGUAAGUGAUCGUUGUUAUUAUUUUACCGUUAAGGGAGUAGAAACAUUUUAGAAUUAGUGAAUUAGUGGGUUAAGCCCACUAAGGCAUUAGGGUUAAACCCAAUUGAGAAGAGCCUAUAUAAGUUCUAGAUUUUAGAGAAAAAUAGGUUUCCACUUCAUUUCAUAAGAAUUUUGAGAGAGGUAGAGAUAGAAAGUUCAAGAGAAGAGGAAAAUGGUUAGAAGGGAGAAAAGCUUGAAGACUCAAGAGGUGAUAGAGAUUCUAGGACCUAAAUUGAAGCUUUUGCUAGGAUUUUUGCUAAUUGAGGUAAGGGGGUUAGAUUUCAAUCAUAAUAACUUAGUUGUAGCUUUUACCCUAAUUUCAUGUAUAAAUGCUUAUUUGUAUAAAGUGAUUAUUAUGAAAUUAAUUGAUGAAAUUCGUGGUUAUGCUUUGAUGUGAUGUUUGGGUAUGUGAAAUUGAUGUUAAUUAAGUUGUUGAUGAAGAAUUUACAUGCUCAAGUUAUGUAUAUAUGUAUACUUGUGUUUUUGCUCAAAAUUGAUGAAGUAUAAUGUUAUUGUUGGUGAAUUGUUGAUGAAUUCACUUCUGAUUGUUGUUGUUGUGAUUGUGAGUAGUUGUUGUUGAUGAUUGAAACCUUGGGUAAUCUUAACCAUAGAGCUUGAAGUGAGUUUCUAUUGUUCUUGAAGUUUUCAUGAAAAAUAGGUCAAAUGGUAAUUUUGUUGAAAUUAUGUUGGAUUCAAGUUUUUAUAUGGAUUUGAGUGUCUUUUCAUGUUUAGACAAACUUUGGGAUCAAAUUUGGGUAUUGGGUCAAAAUUGGGAUUUUGGGGUGAAAAAUGAGUUUUUUUUUGUAGUAGAACUCCAGAAGCCUGUCACAACUCGCCAUGGCGAGCGGGAGGCGAGCAGGAGGUGCUUCCUGUGUGUUAACUCCCCAUGGCGAGUGAUUCACUCACAGGGCGAGCUGCACAGUGACAUCAUUCCCUGUUUCGCAAUCUUGCGUCUUUUUCACAUAUUUUUGUUUUGAAUUGGUCUUUGGUAUAAAUAUGAAAGUUUUAGAUAAUUGUGUUAGCUUUCCAGUGGCGUUGGUUUGACUUGAAAAUGAUUUUUGGUUUUUGAGUUAUGAUGAAAAUACUCCAAGGAGGUCUUAGUGAAAUUUUAUGAAAAUUCCGCAUAACUAUUUCUAAGUCAACCCAAAACUUAUGGAUUGUUUCCAAACUUCAAAACUUGUGUACUAUGAGUUAAAUUAAUGUGUUUAAGAGUAUUUAAGCUACGUUGUGGUGAAUUUAACUUGGUUUUGUUUUGAAAGUGAAUUGGUUUUACAUUAUGAGUAAAGCGAUACGAACUUUGCAAAACUUUGAAUUUAAGUGAGUUGGCCUAUGGGACCUUGAUGUAUACACUAUUGCACUCAUAUGUGAUUGGUGUAUAUACUUAGUUGAGGUUUCCAAAUGUGUUUACCUUGUUUUGUCGGAUAACUUGAAAAUUGGUAAAAUGAUACGAACUUGUCGUAACCUGUGAUUUUGAUGAUUUUGUCGUAGUAGGCCGGUGAAACGCACAUGUAUAUUCAACUACACUCAUAUGUGAUCUAAGUGUAUACAUAGUCGAGGCCCUAGAGUUUAUUUACUUGGUGUUAGUUCAUUUGUCUCAAUUAUUUUAAAGUUGUAAAAUGAGAGUUGAACUUUGUCAAAAAUGGUUCUUUAAAGCCAAUUACCUUAUAAAUCUUUUGUAGAUAACUUUAUAUGACUAAAUGAAGAUAUGUGAAUGAAUUUUUAAUUGUUGAAUAUGAUAUUAUCAUAAGGUGUUGCAUUUUCUCUUUACUUGGAAUAUGAUAAGUAUUUGGAAUGGUGGAACUAUACUAUAUGGUUGAUGUUGAUUAAUAUUUAUAUAUCAAUUGAUGUUGAUGAUUACUGAUAAUUAUGAUGAAAAUGUGAUGAUGACUCUUAAUUGGAUUAUGACUUUAUUGUUGUGUGGACGUAAAUAUUUGAUAAUGCAAUUGUUGUUGAUGUUAUCCUUUAUAUUGUUGUUGAAUAUUUAUGAGGUGAUUUUGCAUUGUCAAGUCUUUCCUUGUAUGUCCAUGCAUCAUAGUCAUGUUGAGUCUUGAUGUUGUAAAGGAGGGUUACUCUUUUACUUUGGUGAUAAUGUAAGACGGGUGUGAAAUUUUACAUAUGAUGUUUUUGUUGCAUCAUGUGUGACGACCUUGAGGUGAUUUGGUACCACAUGCAUAUAUGUGUCGGGAUUAGGCACAUAUCAUAUUGGCGUGAGUCUUAAUUGAUGUAUUUGAAUGAUGAUUGAUGAUGAUAAGUGUGUUUGAUGAAUACAUACUUGUGAUAUUUAGAAUUGUUGCAUGAAUGUGUAUAUGGAAGUUAAUUGCUCAUGAUUAAUUAAUUGAUACUUGAUUUGAUUCAUUUAUGUCUAACUAUUUAUGUGGAUUAUGAUUGUUGUAAAGCUUACCCCUAGUGGUUUUGACCACCUACCUGUCUAUAUGGAUGGGUAGACGAAGUGCAAGAUUAGUCGCUUUGGUGAGUUGCUUGGUGAUUGCUUAGAUAGAGGGAGUUAUCUCCGUUAUCGUUUCCUUAGAGUCUUAGGAUAGGCUCUGAUCUAGGAUGUAUGUCUUAUGAUUAUUCUAGAUUGUUUAUUUUGGAUUUAUUUGUGUUGUGGAGAUUUACCCAAUUGUCGGAAUUUGAAGAAUUUUUAUGUUGAUGUAUUUUGACCUCAUGGCAUGUAUACUUUUGAAGUGUAUGGUUUAUAUCCGCUGCAACGGUAUAGAAUUUUUAUAUAUGCUUGUUAUUUGAACAUUGUUGAUGAUGUGGCGUCUAUUUCUUGGAUAUUUAUAUUAUUCGCGUGUUUUAUUGCUUUAAUAGAAAUAGGGCGCUACAAAAAACAUGCUAAAAAUAACGUAAGAUGUCCUGUCAUCAUACAACGAUUGAGAAAAAGAUAAAGAUUGUCUAAUACCCAAGACUUCUUACAUAACUAUUUCAUCAAAGCAGAAUAGUUCAAAAACUGGAAGGUGUGGGUUUUCAUGACCUAGGAAUACAGGUAGCUCAAGUGAUGACAACAUAAUUUAUGGGAAAUAUGAGAAUCAUCAAGUCUGUGGUAAUGUCAAAUGGAUUCUCAAUCAGAAAAGAAUGCAGAACCUUUAUCCCAGACUUUCCCUCGAUCAUCCAAGAACCAAAUACCAAAGAUCUAGCAGACCUAGUGUCACAAGCUUCUGAAGAUCUAAUCUGACAUGGACCAUGCUCCUAGGGCAUGGACCAUGCACCUAGGGUAGGGUGCGUUUCACAGUCACAUGCGCCUAGGGCAUGGAGUGUGCUCCCUGAGAACUAAAAAAGUGUGGGGCAAAAUUGAUUUUUUUUCGACUUUUGUGUUGUUAUUUUAUGUUGUGAUUUUCUCAGAUUGGAGUGGAGGUAGGAUGUGAGAGUUCAACAGAUCACCAUUUGUAUGACUGAACAGACUAUUCAGAAAAUCUGAAUCAGUGUUUUGAUAAAUGGUUUAGCUAGAGGGUAAUGAUAUAGGUGGCGAAGGAAUAAUGAUGGAUGGUACUGAAGAAAUGUUAACAUAUUAUGUAAGCUCAAGAUCAAUACCUUUUGUAUUAUGAGAUUCUUCUGCUUUGCCUGGUGAGGUUGGCUCAACGGUAGCUGUUGUGAGGUUGGCUCAACGGUAGCUGCUUCUGUGACUAGCAUGCUGACUUCUUCUGCUUGCUUCUGUUGCUUCUCUUGGUUCUCACACUCAUCUACAUCGAUGAAUAUUAGAUGACACAAAUCUUCCUUAGCAUGUACAUUCUUCUUCCUUUCUGGUGAGGGAAUGAGUGAGUGAAUAGUACCAGAGUUCCUUGUGAGCUUGGAAAAAUCCGUUUUGUAGACAGAUCACAAAGUCACAUACUCUUAAUUUGUCUCUGAGUCGGUUUUGGAUUGCCUCGUCUUUUUGGGUGCUUGAGAAACUUUCUCAUCACCUUUCCUCUUAACCUCGACUUUCUUUAACUUCUUUGUUGGAGGAGAUGUUGUGACUUUGGAUGAUUUCCUCUUAUUCUUCUUGUUGUCUGCAGUUUCUGAGUCACCAGGAGUUUAAUCCGGAAAGAACUAAUCCGCAACUAAUUACUAAUAUUUUUCAUUGAAAAAAAAUAAUUUUAAAUAAGACUGGUACCUUGGUCUGUUGUAAAUUUGUAAGAACUAAUUUGACAGACAAUGAUAUAACUCAAAGACUAAUUUAUUUGUAAGUGCAAUAAUUUUGUUACUAAUUUUUGACCGUAAAUAACACACAAGUUAGCAGAAGGACCAAGUUGUUCAAUAUAAUUCAAAAUGUGAUUGUUUUUGCCAUGGCAUCCCCCAGUUUUUCUAUAAUUACACAAGAUUCCCUUUGUCUCGAUGGUUAGGAAGUACAAUUUUCUUUUGGAUGUCUCGUGUCUGAGUCCUAAUUCCCCUCAUUUUUAUAUUUCUAUUAUAUUAUAUUUUAAAUUUUAUUAAAAAAAUGUUCUUGAGGGGGAAUCGAACACGCACCACUACACUGAAUUCUAGCAAAAAACUGACCCCUAGACCGGUUACUGAUCUGAAGAAUAUUAUGAAACAACUAAACAUAUAUUCCAUAAAUUUUGGCACCCCCAAGAUAAAAACUCAAGAUCCGCCAUUGCCUAACUCAAGGUCCUAAAUACGCCACUACCAUUAACUAUAAUUAAUAAGAGUGUUUUAGAAAAUGAAACAUAUUUUGAACAUAUUUCUUAUCAUUUCUUUAACAAUUAUGUAAAACUCAAAAGGAACCCUUAAUUUGAGACAGAGGAUAUAUAAUAAUCGAUGAAGUUUAAUAUCUGCAAAAAAGUGUUAUUAAGUGAAGUAAACUUAACAAGGGUGACACUUGUUUUCUUUUGGUAAGGUGUGGGAGCACUCUUGACUGAGUUUCUAUUUUUUUUUUUUAUAUUCUUUUGAAAGUUGUAGUGGUGUAAUUGGGUGGUUAGUUGAAGUAAUUUUCGUUUUGGUUCUUGCUUGAUCUAUUUUGCAUUGUGAAAUUUCAAUUCUUAGUUUGCUUUCUACAUUGACGGAGUUGCUAAGUUGCAAUCAAACUUUUGAGUGUGUAUUAAUUAUAACAGUAAGAGUGUUGCUAGCACUACUCUUAUAUAAAAUCAGAUGUAUUUUUAAAUUUAUUUAUUUAUUUUUUUUUUUUUAAUUUCUACGAAAGUGGUGCACUUUUCCAUGAAUAUGCUUUUAGUGCAACUCCUUACCAAUGUAGUCAAACAAUUUCUUAAAACUCAUUGUUAUUAGUCAUUUCGAAACAAUGUAUUCACCAAGACAAAGGAGUGGGUGGAAGGAUAAUGGGUGCAUGCACAAUCAAGAAAAAGUUAGGUGAACAUUACAAUCAAAAUAUAUAGCAUAGAGCAUCAAAAUUUAUCGUAUGAAACAAUGUUUUUCUAAAAUAUGAAUGUGAACAAAUAACCCUUCAACUCAUAAGAUGAUCUUUAAUAUAUAGAAUUAGAAAGUUAGAGUAUCAGUACACCGAAAUUUAUAUAUUCAAAAGUGAGGCGUAGUUGGUUUUCCUCUUUAUGUAGUAUAGUUCGGUUUUUCCAUUUUAUUAUGGUACUUAUUCCUAUCAAAUUGAUAAAUCAGCUUUAUCUUAUAAUUGAUUUAACUAAUGAUGACUUGAACAUCAAUAUUAUAUAUUCGGAUAUACGAGUACUUCAUCGUGCUCUUAAUUUAGAGAUGUUUUGAGUUUGUUUACAAAUUGAAUCUUUGAAUUUUAGACAUAGAACUUGUACUCUUUUAGAUAUAAUAUACCGAUUUGAAUGGAUAAAUACCGUAAUUCCAAACAUAUAUUUUUUUUUCACACACAUACCUCAUCCAUUACGAAACGCAGGAACUAAAGCUAUAUAAUAUAGUGAAGCUAAUUUAAUAAAAAAUAUAUAUAUUUGGUGAUGCUAAACUCAGUCUAACUUAAUGCCAGUUCAAAAGGAACACUGUGGUAUGGAGGAAUUCUUUGUUUUGCAUUUAUAAAUGGCAACUAUACCCUAUUAAUCAUCAUCAUAAAAAUAAUUUUUAUAAUGUAUGAGACCAAGUUUCACGUCUCUAUUAUUUUUCAUCAUUUUUUAGAAUUGUACGAUCUUGUACCAGAUCUUCGUUUAGUUAUGAUGAUAGCAACCACUCUCACUGAAAAAUUAUAUAAUAACAUUUUUUUGGCAUAUUUAAUUACUGAUCCUGUCGGUGUAUUAUUGUAAAAUUAGGCAAUUUGUCCAAUCAAUUCACACAUAAUUUCAAACCUGGCAACUAUAUAAAAACAAAAUCAUAGGUAAAUAAUGUAGAAAAUCACCAACAACCCUUGAAUUUUGUUACAAGAAAGGGCCAAGUCAUCACCUUAUCAAGAUUGUGAGUGGAUUCACAAAGAUCACGACUAGUAUAAAAGGAGGAAGUCACUCUUGUGUUUUCUGCACCAAACUCAUAAGUCACUAACAUGGCUUCCUCAAACUUCCUAGUGCUGCUUCUUUUUGCUCUAUUUGCCAUUCCUCAGGGUCUUGCCAAUUAUGAGAAGCCUCCGGUUUACCAACCACCGGUGUAUAAGCCACCAGUUGAGAAACCCCCGGUCUACAAACCCCCUGUAGAAAAGCCACCAGUAUAUAAGCCACCAGUAGAGAAGCCUCCAGUUUACAAACCACCGGUGUACAAGCCACCUGUGUACAAACCCCCAGUAGUGAAACCCCCAGUCUACAAACCUCCUGUUUACAAGCCACCGGUGUACAAGCCACCAGUUUACAAACCACCAGUAGAGAAGCCCCCAGUUUACAAGCCACCUGUAUACAAACCCCCAGUAGUGAAACCCCCAGUCUACAAACCUCCUGUUUACAAGCCACCAGUUGAGAAGCCUCCAGUUUACAAGCCACCAGUAGUGAAGCCACCUGUUUACAAGCCCCCAGUCUACAAGCCACCAGUAGUGAAGCCACCUGUAUACAAGCCUCCAGUCUACAAGCCACCCGUUUACAAGCCUCCAGUUGAGAAGCCUCCGGUCUACAAGCCACCUGUUUACAAGCCCCCAGUUGAGAAACCUCCAGUCUACAAGCCACCGGUUUACAAGCCUCCAGUCGAGAAGCCACCAGUUUACGGACCUCCUCACCACCCAUAGGACUCUCGGAUGCUUUUAAGUAAAUAAGUUAAAUAAGAGAUAUAUAAUGUUUCCAAAGCAAGGAUUAUAUAUUCUUGGAAUCUUCAUUUUAGUCUUUUGUUUACAAAUCCUAUUACCAAGAUAAGAAUGUGAAAGAAAAUGGUGCAUUUGUACUCCAAGUUAUGAAUAAGAACGUUGUGAUUUAGCACUUUUUAAUUUGUGUUGGUUGACUAAAUUGGACAUAGUAUAUAUAUACUCUACUUAAUACUCUGUCAUAUCAGUAAGGUGCAUGAAAGUUCAAUUUUCUGUAGUAGACAUAACGAAUAAUUAAUUUAUGUUUGAAUCUAGAAUUUACUAAACUUCACGUACUUGGAAUUUCAUUGCAUUAUAGCUUGACUCAGUAGUAGCUUUAGUGAAAAAUGAUUUUGGUGCUUAAAAUUUUAAGAGUUGGAGUUUGGACAAAUUAUACACUCAUAUAAUUUAGUUAUCUUUUCAAAUUUACAAUUACAAUUUUCAAGGUUCUAUAUUUGUGUUGAUGCACCAAUUAAGAGAAUGAUCAAGAAAAUUAGGUUUUUAAUUGGUUUUUAUCGAUGAUUUCUGAAGAUAUAUUUCGGCAGAUGAACUAAUCCUUCAAUUUAAGAGAUUAAAUUGCCAUUUUACAAAUUUCAAUGAUUAUAUUAUUACCUAAUCUUAAAUAUAAUUUUUAGGGCUAAAACGAUGAUUCACUCAAUAUAUAUUGUGAUUUCUUAUUUUUUUUAUGAUAUAAAGAUAGCUGAAGUUGUGUGAUAUACAAAGUUAUAUUUCCUUUGGAAGAUAAGAGUCCCCCACCAUAUUGACAUGAAAGUGAACGUGGGAAAAUAUGUGCAAUUAAGGUUCCAAAUAUUAAACAAUAGCCACAAUAAUUGUCUAUAACUCAUAACAAAUAUAAGAACUUGAUAAGAAAAAUAAUAAAUAUAAGAACAUGAGCAGGCCAUAGUUUUUUAGCCCGAGAAGCUUCAUCUUCUUUUUAAGUCUAACAUUUUUUAAUCUUCAUUCAAAGAAGAUUGGUGAUUUUGGGAUAUUUUUAUAAGAUAGGUAAAUAAUGAAAUUUGUGUUGUACUCGAAGAAAUCUACCACACGAUUUGAAUGAAUAUAUUACUUUUAGUCAAAAUAAAUUAAAAUAAAGAAUGUAACAUUUCAAACUCACUCACAUAUAAAGAAUGAAUUUACAAUCUUUAAAACACAAAUAUUUAAUCCUUAAAUCUAACACCUCUCUUAGUUUUAGCGAAAUGAACUUUGUGUUGUACUCGAAGAAAUCUACCACACAAUUUGAAUGAAUAUAUUACUUUUAGUCAAAAUAAAUUAAAAUAAAGAAUGUAAAAUUUCAAACUCACAUAAAAAGAAUGAAUUUACAAUCUUUAAAACACAAAUAUUUAAUCCUUAAAACUAACACCUCUCUUACAUUUAUUUUGUUUACGUACCUUUAUUUUGUUUUCAAAUACUUAUAUUUAGUUGAAUUCCUUCAUUAUACUCUUUUUAAUGAAUUUUCUGAACAAAAUAAAAUUGUGUUACUCAGUCACUCAAAUUAGAGUGGAUAGAGCAAUGAAAAUAUUUAUUACUAUGUAGUUUAUAGUUGGAGUGAUCGGAUAGUCUAGUGGGAUCUUAGCCACUCUCGUUUGACUCACUUGGAGCAUGUCAAAAAUAUUUUUUUGAAAAUGAACGAUGGAGAUUUACUUUGCACUAGGUCCAGUGAAAAAGAUAUGGGAGAUAAUCCCAAUCUUAGCUUAUUGGGUAGGCCAGUGUUGAGAAUGGAUUCUCUCAAAUGUAAUUAUCUCACUAGUCUAAUUACCAACACAAUCAAAGAGAAAAAAUAGUGGGAUGUAAGUAAAAAAUCCAUAUUCUACUUACUCAAUCAUCUAUACAAGCUACUUUAAUUAUCUAGUCGAACGUUACGAGCGUUACAAGAGAAAUCAGAAUAUCGAUGAUCAAAAUCCUUCAAAGCAAAAGAUGUUGUUGUGUGCAAGUGUGAGUUAUAUGCCCCACAUCGGAUAAAAGAGUAAAGGUUGAACACCUUAUAAGUAAGAGGACCAUAAACCCAAAGCCUUAAGGUUUUGGGUAAGAGUGUGGUGUCUCCCUUGCUUGUCUGGUUGUUCUAGCCUCGAUGUGGACGCUCCCCCAAGCUCCCCUCGCUGACCCAACAGUGGUAUCAGAACCCCGGUUCGAUGAAGGGUACGACUGAGGCCGCCUGUCAGUUGUGCAGAAAGCAGCAACGACGGUACAAGCAACAAGUGGCUUCUUGUGCAGCAACGGCUAUACAUGCAAAGUAAAAAGCUUCCACGCGGUACAAGCAACAAGUGGCUUCUUGUGCAGCAAUGGCUAUACAUGCAAAGUAAAAAGCUUCCACUCUAGGGGAGCGACUCACGCUUGAGGGGGAGUGCUGUUGUGUGCAAGUGUCUGUUAUAUGUCUCAAAUCGGAUAAAAGAGUAAAGGUUGAACAUCUUAUAAGUUAGAGGACCCAUAAACCCAUAGCCUUAAUACUGUCCUUUUUGCAUAUUUAGCCCCCCCGAAACCAAUUUUAACCAAUUCAACGAUGACGUGGAUGUCACGUGUGUAAUGCUUUAAUUAUUUUAGUUUUAGAUAGAUACAGAGAGAGAGGUGUCAUAUGUCAAAAAAAAAAAAAGAUAGAAAAGAUUUCCUUCCUUGAAUCGUUGAGGUAACUACAAACUAAGACAAUGAUGUUAUUGGUUACUUGUUUCUAAUACCUUUGAAAAAGAUAGUUAGACCAAUGUAUUGGUCAUUAACUCUUUUCAAUGGUUACUACCCUAGUGUCUAAGGUGAGUCAUAACAACGUCAAAGUAAGUACAAUUAUUAUUAAUUUAUGUCUACACCUAAUCAAUAAUUGAAGGUUAAGAUAGGUCAAGCCAACAAAGUUAAGGUUAAGAUAAUCAUUUUCACCUAAAUUGAUUUAUGAACAUAUGUUAAUGAUGACAGUCCGUCAUAUCACAUUUUUAGAGUCUUUUCAAUUAAGUUUUUAUUCUAAUUUUAUUAAUUUAGUACUUAAUUUAGAGUCAUUUUAAAUAAAUUGUCAUUUUCUUAUUAUUGAGUCAACUAGUGUAUUAUUACUAUUAUUAUUGGUCAAUUAGUGGCUAGUAAAGAGAAUGAAACAAAAACAUGGUUUUGUGAUGGAUGUGAUUGGCCAAGAAAAAUGAUAACAAGUUGAACGAAAGAAAAGAAGACCACACAAUGUUGCAUUAGGGUGCAGGAAUCAAAACCAAUAUAAUUGGGCUUUCUUUCAUGGACGUUGAACCAAGAAAAAGAAAAGAAAAGAUAACUUGCUGCAUAAUGUUAAUUUGGAAAGAAAAAUAGGUUUGACAAGCUAUAAAAGGAGACCACGCACAGGAACAAAGCAGACGAUUGGGAAAGAAAGAGCAGCACGCGGUACGAGACAAAAGGAGGAGGAGAAAAGCUCAUGGAAUUUGGAAUAUGCAACAGUACUGAUUAAAUAGAACAAAGCCGGUAGACCAUAAUUCGAUCGGUUUAUUUCUUUUAGUAUGUUGUUUAUUCCUUUAAUAUGUCUAGUUAAUUCCAUUUGAUUGAGUCACGAUGAACCUAUUGUAAUAUAUGAAUCAGUAGUUAAAACUCUUUUUAUUAUCAAUAUUAUUCAGUCUUUAUUCAGAAUUAUCUGUGUUCAUUGCCUUUCAUAUGAUUGUUUGCAUUGUUUGCAUUGUUUGCAUGACUAUUAACCCUAACUUCUUACAAUCACAUAAAUUGAUCUUAGGAAUUGAAUGACUACUAACCCUAACUUUUAAUCCUGAAAUAAUAAUUCUGUUUAAUUCAACAUAGGAACCUAGAGAUAGGAAAUUGAGGAUUAUGACAUAUAACGUUCUAACAUCGCUUCCGCGGUUAUUCAACCAGUUUAAAAGAUUAAAAGGUUAUAACUUAGGAAAUGGUUUUGAGUCAAGAGAUUGAUCAAAACUAAUUAGUUAAUUUGUCGUAAAGAUUGAAUAAGUGUUGAGAGCAAAGAGAGAUAAACUAUUUCACAUAAAACAAUAGAGGAUUUACCGGCUGAUCAUCUGUUUUAAUCCAAUUAUCAAACCAUUUUAUUUUAUGUUAUUUACUUUUUAUUGCACACAAACGUACUGCCUCAUACACUUAUAAAAUUUACACAUCCUAGAUAUUAACUUUAUUGCUAGUUUGAGAUUAACACAGUCCUCGUGGAUACGAACUUAUUUUAUUACUUCGAUAGUUUUAGUACACUUGCUAAAAUAUUUAUGAGUUAACCAAUAAAGAGUAUCAAGAACAACUUUAACCGAAUAAAAUAGAAAAGUAAUUAAAUGAAAUUUAUAGAAUUAUUCAAAGUUACAUAAUCAAACAAUUACGAGGAAGUUCUUAUUUCAUGACCUAACAUAUAUAGUAUUAGCUACUCAUAGAUUUUCUAAACAUAUAUAAAUAGAUAUGAAGAAGAAAGCAUGAGAAAAGGAUCAGCAAGUGAGGAUUAAUUGGCUCCCUAAUGGCCGUGGUCACUCCAAUCCUUCCAAAAUUGUGUUUCUGCCUUCGUCUUCUCGCUAAAAAGUAUUUUCCACUAACUUAGGUUUCAAUAUUUAUAGGUGUGCAUUUCCUUAAGUUUUUGGGAAAUUGGCACACGAUGCGAUCCUAUUCCUCAUGAUGCGAGGAUAACAUAACUAAUCUUGUUGGCCUCACGUUUAUUGUCCCGAUGCAAAGCUCAUGAAGAUUGAUACGAUUCAAGGAAAUGUGAUUUGAUUUAACCAAGCAAAAACCAAGAUCAUAGGAUAACAAUGAUACGAUUCAAAGAAGUGUUAACUUGAUUCACAGUAAUACAAUUCAAAGAAUCAUGAAUCGUUUAAAAAUUUAUGGAAAAUUAGCAGAAACUUUUCAUGAUAAGAUUCAAAAAAGUUUGAAUUGAAUCAAUUGGUUAGAAAAACAUUUUGACCAAGAAAAAUGAAGUUUUCUUUAUACAAACAAAACACAAGACAACAAGGGAUCAUAUGAUUUAUGAGGCAAGAUUUCUAGGUAUGCUUUAACAUGAUAUUAGUCAAUAACAACUAAUAUCUAAACAUCAUCAAAUAAAAACUACCUAAUGAACAUCAUAAAAACACAAACCUAUAACUACACAACUUCAUCCAACUUAUUGGGUGUACCGCAUUAACUAGAUAAUGGUCAUAUCUAUACUAUAUAUAAAGAAAAUAACAUGUUUUUCAAGGUGAGAAAAACACGAGAGGGGGGGGGGGGGGGGGUUGAAUUGUGGUUUCUUUCUCUUCUCCUAAAACCGAAUUCACUAUUCAGAACUUGAUAGAGUUCAGCUUCUGAAGUAGUGUUCAGAGUCUAGUUGCAGCGGAUAAGAAAAGAGAGAGAGAGAGAGAGGCAAGACACAAAGCAACUAUACAGAUUCCUUCCACAAACCGGAACUAGUCAUGUCCCCCUUGCACCUCCAAGAAGAGUUCACUAAAAUCAAUAUUCGAUUACAAUUGCUCAGGGCUCAAAAUAGCAAGAGACUUCAAACUACUCAAGAACAACUACAAGAGAUUUCCUAUGCUCAAGAACAAAAUCAAGAGACUUCCUAUGCUCAAGCACAACUGCAAGAGACUUCAUACAAAUCAGAUAAGACUCUUAAGAUUCUAGAAUUUCUAAAAUAUGAAAGUUGAUAAGAAAUUCUAAGUGAACUUUGAUGUGAAACAUUUUUAGCAGAGUUUUGGCACUUGUAAAAUUGUUGUAAGUCUCUUAGAAAUCUUCAAGUCUUCACUCCUUUAUAUAGAGGUGUGAAAGAGACGUUGUUGAUUUCCAACACAUUAAAAGAGUCGUUAUUGAAGCUUGAUCAAAUUUCAAUUCCAUUCCAAGUAUAGAGGAAUACCAGCGUAGUCACAAUUGUUGUUCUUGUACUAUUGCAGACAGAAAACAGAGUAGUGGAGAAGGUGGUUGUACAAUUGUACUAUUGUCCUUUUCCAAUGUUCUUCAAGGGAUAAGCAUCCAAUGACUUCAAAUUCCUCUUAAUUAGUUGUUGCUCUAGACUUCUAUUCCUUCUGCAAUGAUAGGCAUGAUAAUAACAACUCUUGACAAAUAUUGAAGCUUCCAGUCUUUCAGCUUAUGAUCUUAAACUUCUAACGACGUCAGCUUCUGGUAGUCUCCAGCUUAUGAUAAAAGUGCUUCUGAUGAUGUCAUCUUCAGAACCUCUUUGUCUUCAAAACCUCUUUUCCUUCAGAUGGUUCCUUGCAACUCAAGCUUCCUUUUUUUAAAUUCCAUUGCUCUCAUUUGUUCUUCUAGAACCCAUGCUUCAUUUAAAGACACUCAAAUUUUUGUAUAUGGUCCUGCACACUUGAACAAAUAUUAUCAUAUCCAAUUGAAUUUUUUUAAUACCUUGUUAUCAUCAAAACUUAAAGGGUAAUGUUAAACACAUUUUGUUCCAACAUUUUUGACUCUUUUAGAAUGACUUUUUCUCUUUCCAAAAUUACCAUCAACUUUCAAUACAAAUAACACAUACAACAAGAAUUGUGUUAUUUGAACAUCCAUAUAUGCGACAACUUUUGUGACAACCAAAAUUUUACAAAGAAAAUGAAGUAGUGGCACAAAAACCAAAGCAAUAGAGAGAGAAAGUAAAAAGAUAAUGUGAGUAUGAGAGAGAAAGUUGUCACAAAAGUUGUAAAAAAUAGUUGUUCAAAUAUCAUUUCUCCAUACAACAAAUAGAUGAGAGUAAAUUCAAACAUUAAAAUAAAAUUGUAAUACACACGAUAUGAGUAUAUAUGUCCAGUUUUUUCCUUUAUCAUUUAAAAAAUGUAACAAACAAGAUGAGAAUAUCAGAGAGAUGAGAGAUAGUGACGUGAGACAAGAAAGACCUCUCCGUGGCCCGCCUUUGCUUGAACGGUGGUAACCGCACCAGAAUUUAUCUCCAUUUGAGAGAUACACUAGGGGGUAGGUAUGCAGCCUGGGUGGUAGAAAAUGGGGGGGGGGGGGGGGGGGGUAUGGGUGAUUGGUCUGUAGUUAGGUCACGAAAGAGGAAAGCGACGCAAUCGGAAGAUCGAGGAAGGGACAAGUCAAGGGUUUCAGAGCGACGCGGAGGCACGGUAAGGGUUAGAGGGAUCGCACAUAAUGAUUACGGGUUUGAUGGCAGAGAGGCGCGACAAUCAGCAAGGGCUCUUCAUGAUCAGCAAGGUUUGGGUCGUUAUCAGUUUGGAAACAACGAUUUGGCUUUCGACAGAUGCGGGUCUGAUGCUAUCAUGGGAAAAGGCUUCUUCGACGACAAACAUAACAAUGGUAGUAAAAUUACUUUCUAUUUUGCAAACAUUCCUGAUUAUAUGCCGUUGUUUCGUCUCCGUCAAUACUUUGAAGUGUGUGGUAUUUUGUCUGAUGUCUAUGUUGCCAGACAACUAAAUUCACGUGGUCAGGUCUAUGGCUUCGUUAGAUUUUUGAAUGUGAGGAACAAGGACAAAUUAGCACAAGAUUUGAAUAAUGUAUGGAUUGGUGACUUUAAGGUCUGGGCGCGUGAAGCAAAAUUUGAUAGGUUUGCACAAUAUGAUGAUGAUCAUAGGGUGUCUAUGCAUGGUGAUAGAAGGGAUGAGAAUGGAGGGGAGAGGAGGCCGGUGGUGAGAACUAAUGGUGAUGGAGUAAAAAAUAUGAGGAUGUGUAAUUUUAAAAAAAUAGGAGGGAUAAUAAAAAUAGUUGUUGGUCUCAUUUUAAAAAAAAAUAAAAAAAUUGUUUAUAUAUUUUUGUUAUAUUAUCGGUGUCAAUGAAAUGGAUAAUCAUGGUUAAUUUGAUUUGUUAUAAUUUGAAAGCAACACACAUUUAUAUCUUUAAUUUUAAUCAAAAUCAAAAUGUUAUAAAAAAUACUAUUGCUAAUUUUCAAAUGUUAACACAAUAAAAAGAGCAGAAAGACGGAGUGCCCGUCUUUUCACUAGUUAUAAUAAAAGAAAUUUUAUUUGAUGUAUUGAUAAUGAUACUGAAACUUUUUACACAUACAUCCAAACAUUAUUCAUGACAUCACUUUUAUACAAGUUCUAAAAUAUCGCUGUAACAAAAAGGUUAAAAAACAACUCAUGAAAUAUGUACAUGAUUUAAUUGAAUAUAUGUGUAAAAGAAAUUAUAUAUCAACAUCUAUAAAUUAAAUUUAUUAUUGAAAUGAAAUACUAGUAAAAAUGAUGGCCAGCAUUUAUGAAAAUAAAGGUCUAACUGAUCAUGGGCCAAUUUAAAUCAAAAGUAGAUUUGUGCCCUCUAAAGGGUACUAGAAUAUAAAAGAUGGACGGCAAACAAGGGACACAAAGAAUAGAGAUGCUCAAUUUAAAACACAACUUCGAUUUUUUUUUUAUUUACUAAAAAAUAACUUAGAUUGUUUAGAGAAGAUAGGAAUUCAAUUAGUCUGACAACAUAUUUUGGAAGUACAAUUAGUUUCACAAUUAACUAUUUUGAUAAUCCUCCUUAUUAAAAAAAAAUUAAUAUUCCAUUUCGUCAAAUAAAACAAAAAGUUAGGGAGUGAUGAGAGAUCUUAGUCAAUAUUGUUUUGCACCAUAAUAUUUUUGAGAGAUUGAUUUGGCAUUUACAUGCUUCCAACAAAUACAAUGUAACAAGUGCUUAUAAUUAUAUGAUAUCGUCUCUUAAUAUUGUGACAGCUGAUCACUUAAACACAAUUUGGAACAACGAGGUCCCUCUGAAAGUUAGUCAUUUUACAUGGAGUUUGCUCUGUAGCCGAUUACCAACAACAAAUAAUUUUAUCAGAAGGCACAUUCUUAAUCAUAAUGUUCAACUUUGUGUAGGCUUUUGUGGUAUAAUGUAAGAUAUAGACGAUCUAUUUCUCUCUUGUGAUUUUUUUGAAAUUUUUUAGAUUGGUAUCUAUAAUUGGCUCGGCUUUACUAUGGUACAUCCAGAACAUCCGAAUAACUUUUCAACUCAUAUGGUUAACUUGUGUUUGGGUGAUUUGAUGGGAAAGAAAUGCUUGAAGUUUUCGCAAUCAAGAAGAAUCGUUACAACAUCUUCUUGACAAAAUUAAGCUUCAAUCCUAUUAGUGGUUGAAAGCGAAUAGAAUUUUCGCUCAAUUUUAAUAAAGUGGAUACUAUAUGAGAUUUUCGCUCAAUUUUUUAUGAGUAUGGACUGCACUUGGCGUUAGUCAUUGAACUCAUUUUACGAGACUCAAGUUCCAACUUAAGCCAAAAACUGAAACCAAACAAAUGAAGUAAAAAACUCAAGUUCCAAACUAAUGCGUGAUUUUAGUCAAAACAAUGUUUAUUUUUUGACAGUAGUUAGUUUUGGAUUACAGCUAUAUCCCUACACCCCACAAACUAUACCCCUCUCACCAAUAGACAAAACAAAAGAGUAGGUGGAAGGGUACAUAAUUAAGAAAAAGUUAUGUGAAAAACAAUAUUUUCUAUAGCCAAAACCAAAAGAUAUAUAUUGCAUUAUUGCAUAUAUACCAAUAAAAGAAGUACUGUGAAAUACAAGAUAAUGGCAUUAGAUUAGAAAUGGCCAAUUUGAUCUGUCUAUUUUUAAUCAUAUUAUUUAGAUUUGUUCAAUCUUUUACCAAAUCUUAUUUAGUUAUGCAAAAAGCAACACCUCUCGUUGAAAGAUAAUAAUAACGAUUUUUGGCAUAUGUUACUAAUAUUGAUUGAAAAAUGUUACCAAAUGAUGCAACUUCCCAACUCCAAUCCACUCAUAAUUUCAAACUUCGCUACCAUAUGAAAACAAAAUCACAGGUAGAAAUGUGUUGGAAAUCCUCAACAACUAUUGACUUUUGGUACAAAAGAGUGCCAAGUCAUUACUAAUUCAAGAUUGAGACAUGCAGCUGUGAGUGGAUUCACUAAGAUCACGACUAGUAUAAAAGGAGCUGGUCACACUUGUAUUUUAUGCACCAAAUUAUAAGUCACUAACAUGGCUUCCUCAAACUUUCUAAUGAUGCUCCUCUUUGCUCUCUUUGUCAUCCCUAAGGGGUUUGCCAACUACGAGAAACCUCCAGAGUAUCAUCCACCAGUUGAAAAUCCCCCAUUUUAUAAACCACCGGUAGAGAAACCACCUGUGUAUAAACCACCAAUAGAGCAACCUCCAAUUUAUAAGCCACCUGUAGAAAAUCCUCCAAUUUAUAAACCACCAGUAGAGAAACCACCCGUGUAUAAACCACCGUUUGAGAAACCUCCAAUCUACCAUCCACCAGUAGAGAUACCACCAGUGUACAACCCACCAGUUGAACAUCCUCCAAUUUACAAGCCUCCUGUAUACAAACCACCAGUAGAGCAACCUCCCGUCUAUAAGCCACCAGUAGAGAAGCCUCCAAUUUACAAGCCACCAGUAGAGAAACCUCCUGUUUACCAACCUCCUGUUUACAAGCCCCCAGUUGAGAAACCUCCAGUGUACAAGCCACCUGUAGAAAAGCCACCAGUGUACAAGCCACCUGUAGAAAAGCCACCAGUGUACAAGCCACCUGUAGAAAAGCCUCCUAUAUACAAACCACCAGUAGAGAAACCACCAGUGUACAAACCACCCGUUGAGAAACCCCCGGUUUAUAAGCCACCAGUAGAGAAACCACCUGUGUACAAGCCACCAGUUGAGAAGCCCCCAAUUUACAAGCCACCAGUAGAGAAACCACCUGUAUACAAGCCACCAGUUGAGAAGCCUCCAGCUUACAAGCCACCAGUUGAGAAGCCACCUGUAGAGAAACCACCAGUGUACAAGCCACCGGUUGAGAAGCCCCCAAUUUACAAACCACCAGUUGAGAAGCCUCCAGUGUACAAGCCACCGGUUGAGAAACCACCUGUCUACAAGCCACCUGUAGAAAAUCCACCUGUUUACAAGCCACCAUUUGAGAAACCUCCAAUUUAUAAACCGCCAAUAGAGUAUCCACCCGUGUACAAGCCCCCUUUUGAGAAACCCCCCAUCUACAAGCCACCUGUAGAGAAACCUCCUUUUUACAAGCCUCCGUUUGAGAAUCCACCAUUUUAUAUACCUCCAGUUGAGGAGCCUCCUGUUUACAAGCCUCCAUUCGAGAAGCCACCAAUUUACACUCCUCCAUUCUAGAGCCCACCUUACCACCCAAAGUUCCCUCGGGCAGGCGAUGGUACUCGUUAAUAGAACAUGCUAUGAAGAAAAUAUGUUAAAUAAGAGAUAUAUAGAGUUUUUUAUUUAAUCAAGGAAUAUAUAUAUUCAUGUAAUCUUCAUUUCAAUACUUUGUUUACAAUACUCUUGCUAUGAUAAGAAUAUGAGUGAAAAACAGAGAAAGAAAAUAGUGUGCUUUUCUAUUCGAAAUUAUGAAUAAGAUUUCUAUGAUUUAGAUGUUGUGUUGGUUGACUAAAUCGUGAUACAUCGACAGAGGCAGAGCCCCUCAUGCGCCAAGGUGGGUCAUGGCCCACCCCCAAAUUUUGUUUCUUAUUAUAUAUAUAUUAUGUUUUGUAAAUUUUUGAUGUUUUUGUAGCAUGUUGUAGUGGUUAAGAGCCUUUUUGCCAAGUCGUAUGUGCUAGGUUCAACUCUUGCCAAAACCAUUUUUAUUUAUUCUUUUAUUUUCUUUUGUAUAAAAAAAAAACAUAAUUCAUAAUUGUUAAAAUAAUCCUUUUUUUUGUUACUUAAUCCUUUCUUUCUUUAAUAAAACAUAACUCCUUUAUUCGAUUUAAAAUAAUCUUUCCUUUCCUUACUCUUAUUUUUGGAUACAAUUGUCUCUUUACUCUUUUAUUUUAAUUUUUUUUUUAUACAAAGGGGACUUCAACUCUUUUUUGUCAAAAAACAUUCUCUUUUAAAACAUAUAACAUAUUUUUUAUACUUAGUCGUUUGAUUCAAUUCGAUUUUAUACCUAUACAUCUGUUUAUUGAAGUCGAGUCAUUUAAUUCAGUCGUUAGGUUCAAUGGCCUAGUUGUUCGAUCAAUUAUCUUGAACUUUAUCAAGGUUGAUAAACAGUUCAUAUUUUAAAAUACCGGUUUAAAUUAUAUUCAACAAAUAACAAAUUUAUAGUCAUUGGAACCAACCAAUAAUAAAAUGUACUUGUAAGAAAAUAAAGCCUCAUCACUAUUUAUGGCCCACCCUAUACUUUUUUCCUAGCUCCGCCACUUUACAUCUUCGUAUUCUUUAGGAAGUUUCAACCUUGUUGACUAUGACAACAGUGACGACUAUAACGAGACUCGCUAUUGACUAUGACAACAGUGACGACUAUAACGAGACUCCCUACUUUUUGGUUUGCUUCAACAGGUUCUCAACAUAAAUAACUAACCAAGUUAAUUUGCCUGUGAAAUGUGAUAUUAGUAAGGUGCAUGAAGGUUAAGUUCUUUAGCAAAGCUUAGUAUCUUGAAUUAAAGAAUAUCGUUAAUUAAACUAAAUAUUCAUAUUAGGUAUCACAAUUUUCAAGACUUUAUAUGUACGUGUUGAUCCAUUAAUUAAGAGAAAUUAGACUUUAGACCCGUGCGUCGCACGGGUCAUUUCGACUAAUAUAUAAUAAUAAGUAAUGGUAAAAAAAAUUCUAAAAUAAAUAAAAGAUGAAGAGUAUUAUACAUUUUACUUACUCAAGUUCAAAAAAUAAAGUAGGAGAUGACAUGAAAUCGUUUAGUUGAAACAAACGAAUAUUAAAAAAUAAAAAUUAGACAACGACAGGGAUCUAAAAUUCUAUUUCUAAUCCUUCACAUAUCAAAAUUACAAUUGGUUCUCUUCAUUGUAAUCAUCUAAACUUAAUUAAAAAAUUUACAAGUGCAAAUAGAAUCGACAUUAUACAAGUCACUACUUGAUUCCAAAAACCUAUGUUUCAUGAAAACCACUCAUACCUAAAUAACAAUAAUAAACCUUCAAAACAAAAAUCAACUAUUCUCAAAGGACCCAAAAGAAAGAUUUUUAGCCUUCUAAAUCACAAUUUCUCUUGUUGUAUUGUUUUUGUGUCAAAAGCACCAUAAGUUGAAUAGUAGGCUCAGACACAUGACUUUCCUCAUAAGACAAAAUCACCAGUUUUUUAUAGGUUGAAAAAAUAAAUCAAAUAUCCUUAACUUUCAAUAACGCUUAGAAACAACUGAAACUUUUGCAUUAUCUCAAUCCACAAACAAAAUUGAAGACCUUUAUAUUUGCUUUAGGCACCUUAAGGAAUUCUAUGUAAAUUGUUUUCCUGCAAUGAAAUGCUAAACACAAUGAGCAAAGAAGAAGAAUUAACAACAAUAUUUGGAUUGUUUUAUUUAGCUUACAAUUCUUUAAACUAAUCAANAACACAAUGAGCAAAGAAGAAGAAUUAACAACAAUAUUUGGAUUGUUUUAUUUAGCUUACAAUUCUUUAAACUAAUCAACAAAAAAUUAAAUUUGCAUUAUAUCCUCCACAAUAUCAAGAAUUUUUCAAAGGGAUCAUUCUAUUUGUAUGGCUAUGAUGAGAACUCAUGUGUGUCCAUGAAGACCAGCUCUACGGAUAACCAUGUUCAUAUUAACUAUUUUAGGAGUGAAAAUAGGAUUGGAUUGGAUUUAGUAGUGAGCUGUUGUUUUUGAUUUCAGAAGCAUUUGAAAAUAACAUUUUGAUUAAAUGGAAAUAAUAGGAAGAAUUUGUUAAUAAAAGUGAUUUUUUUUUUUUUUUUUAUGUUGAUCUUUUUAUUGUUGUGUUAGAAACAAAAUAGGACGAAAUUGUAUUUUUUUUUUUAUGUUUAUCUUUUUAUUGUUGUGUUGGAAACAAAAUAGGAGGAAAUUGUUAUAGGAAUAGGAGGAACGAUUUUUAAAGUUUAUCUCUUAAUUAAACAGGUUUAAUUGAACACGGGGGUAAUAACGUAAAAGUCAUCAUAAAAUCUAGGUUAAAAUUAGGUUAAAAAUUGGCUUACGGGUUAACUUUUAUAUAUAAAGAAGUCAAGAGAAUCUAGAUCUGUGAAGCCCCGAUACUUCAAAAUGGAUGAUGUAUCGUAUCCGCUGCGUAUUCUGUAUCGAUACCUGCCCGAUACUUCUCAAAUUUAUGAGUUUUAUUUGAUUCUUCGAAUUCGAAUUUUGAGAAUUUUAGGGUUUGAAGGUUGGUGAUGGAGGUGAAUCUGAGUUUAUAUUAAGAAUUGAUGAAGAAUUUAAGGAGAGUGCAGUGAUGGAUAGGUAACUGAGUAUGAAUUGGUAUGCAGUUUGGAAAAACAAAACAAGAGGCAGUAGCAGCACCCCCACCCUUCCUCUACUUCUUCGACAAUAUGAGUGUUAGAUUCAUUUUCCUAGGUGUGAUUUUGAGGCAGAUGAAUAUGUGUGAGAGAUUGUAGAGGAAGAUCUCAGAUAUAGCUUUUAGGGAUGAACAUGAAUGAAUGAAUUUGUAGAUGAAGAUGAAUGUUGUUUGAACAUUUAAUUAAGAAAUUUUUAAUUGUUUUUUGUUUUAAUAUUUGAAAUUAUUAAAUUGUAUUUUGAAAUUCAAAAAACCUGUUUUAAUGACAUGUAAAUGACAUUUUCCAAAUUGGCAAUGCCACAUAGGCAAAAUUUUACCACCUGUGCAUUUUUGGAUGUGAAAAUAGGGGGUAAGACUAAAACUGCAACAAAAAUGAUAAUUGAAAAACAAUUUUAAUCUGUUUUAAAAGGGCAGGACCAAUUUCCUGAGUAGGCCACAACACGAGGACCAAAAGUGUAAUUAAGCCUUAUAUUUAUGUUGAUGUGCUACAAGCUUAUGACUGGUUUCUUUUGUUUGAUAAUAUAUUUGCAUAUUAAAUAAAAUGGUUAUAAUUAUAUUCUACAUUUAAUUAUAUAAUUUUUUUAUUGACGUAUCCCAACCAUAUCGUAUCUUGAUUUUUGAAAUUUUUUCGUAUUGACGUAUCGGUGCAGUAUCGUAUCUCGUAUUCGGGCUUCAUAGAUCUAGACUAUUAAUUUUUUUGAUAAACAAGAUUAUUAUUAUUUUUUGACAAAAACAAAGUGAGAUUCAUUCAUUCAAAUUGAUAGAGUACAUCAGAUACAAACAUUGCUAAAAACGUAAAGGAUAAAUCUAUGAACAAACUCACAACACUAAAGUUCAUACAACAGCAAAAUGUCUACAAAUAAUAUGAUAAAAUCUAAGUCACCAAAAUAUUCAUGCUUCCGGGUAUGCAACGUUGGCGCCCAAAUCAUUGAUUGAAUUUGUAAUUGACUAAUGUCGAUCUUUCAACAUGAACUAAACGAACACCGCGUCAAGACGCGAAAUCAAACAUCACAUAAGACCACUAACAACACAAUGCCACAAUUAGAUGACGAAAUCACAAAAACUCAAAAGGGAAAACUUGAUAUAUGUGAAAACCAUUUGUUUAGAUCGAAAGAAAAGAGAAAAAACGAUGUAGAGGGGUGAUUUUAGGUCAAAAAUGACCUAAAACCAGUUCUUUUUAAUAAACGAAGGAGAAAGAAUGUUUAGAGAGAAGUUGGAGUUUUUUUUUACUUAAAAAAUUAGGAUAAGCAAAAUUAUUAUAGAGGGAUAAAGGGCUCCCCAACCCAUAUACAAAAUGAUGGUUGCAAUGCCAUGUAGAAAAUAAAAAGAUAACAUUGCCUUUCUUUUUACAAUUAAACUAGUUACAAACCCGUGCGUUGCACGGGUUUAAUAACGUAUUUUAUAAAAAAAAAAUCUUUUAAAAGAAAAAUGAGCAAAUUAAUGAAUAUUGCACAAACAUUAUAAAUCUUUAUCAAAAUAUUUAUGAAAGCUUUAUCAAGUCUUUAAUACACAUUAAUAUUUGUGAUGAUUGAUAAAAGAAUUAAAAAGAGUAAAGGGUAUAGAAAUAAAUUUAUUAAAGAAUUAACAAUUUGUUUAAACUUAUUUUUGUUACAAUUUAGACCAAAAAAAAUAUUGGACUUCAUUGAGUUUCUCUAUAAUUUUUUUAUCAGGCUUGAAGUUAUGACUCUGAGUUUGAAAACCGCAAAAUUCACAAAAAUUAUUGAAGAAACACUAUAAACAAAUAAACGGCAUCGUCAAAAAUGAAAUCAUAUUUGGCUAUAGUGAUCAAGCAAACAAAAAAAAAGAAGCAUAUUAAAUACCUAUAAUCAAUGGAUUCUAAUUGCAUAGAGGCGACACUUAUACUUUCUCUAUGUUUGUUCAUCAAUGAGAGUGAUUAUUUUGCGCUUUCCUUUCAGAAUUGUUCUUGACACCUAGUUUGGGAAAUGCUAAACAGGGAAAUAACUGUAAUAUUAAUCUAAUGCAUAUUAACAUGGAUAAGAUGUAUGCGAAUAUAGUUAUAUAUAACUUAUGAAAUGAAGGUAACAUAACUGAUUUUAAGCUAAAGAAAAUGUACCAUGACUUCUAAUUUAUCUUUCUAUUAUCUUCCUAUAAAGUCUAGAGAAAUGCAUGCAUGUGCAUUAUAUGUACCCCGUUGACCAAUUAACAUUUUUGAAACAAAUGAAAAUUAAGCAUCACUCCCGCAUGUGCAUCUAUAGCUAACACCAUUUGACAUUGAUGUCUUCGAACAUUUGGUGCAACUCUCAUAAUACCAUCCAAACUGGUUAGGAUUGAAUUUAGUUGUUUUUCCAAAUAGUGAUGGAGUAUGUAUCCUAACACAAAUUAUGCACGUGAAAUAAAGAAUAGUGCAAUAUGCAUUUUUAAUUUGUGCGUAAAAAAAUUCAAAGCAUGUUUGUGAAAAAAAAAAAAAAAAACAGACCUUGACUAAGUUUAUAGAUUCAUCAAUUGGCCUAACUUGAGACAGAUUGGAAAAAUCGUUCUACGAAGUACUUUUUAAACUUUACUUUUUAAUCUAUCUGAGCUUGAGAAGUGUUAAGUUCACGACAACAAUUCAAGAAACAUGGUCAAUAAACAAUCAAAUCAGAUUGUGAAAUAAUAAGUUACUCUAACACUGUAUUGUGAAAUCAUAAUGCAAACUUACUAAGUCUUAAACUUUUCAACAACCGGAUGAUGUAGGUUGAUGAGCAGCCUCGAACCUGACCAAUUGUUACAUCUAUUUGCGUUGUCAUUGACUACAAAAUAGAAGCAAAGAAUUCAAGGUAAAUAAAUGGUAAAUGAUAAAGCUACAAAGUAUUUUACCCAUAAUGUUACAUCAACUAUAUUCCCAAUGCUCUAAAUCUCUAUAUCGAGUUAUUACAUGAACUCGAUCACCCUAAAUCCGAGAAAGAAACCAAAAAAUAUAAAUAAAUCAAAAUGUAUACUAAUAAGUAACAUUGAUAAAUCAUAAAAGAAAUUACUACAAAUCUUAACUAACUUAUCUAACCUUUGCAUCACAAAUAAUGAGCUUCAUAUGUUGAUUCUCAUUACUACCAGUCACAAUUCAAGAAUCCAGUACUCCAAAUCCUAUUUUCCAAACGUCUAAAUCAUUUUUGAGAUACUUAAUGUAGUCAUAAUCCCUUGACAUUGAAAUUCAUAUAUAGAAAUACAAUAAUACAUCAUUUAAUUUUAUUCCCUUUGUUCAUUCUGAUAUCGAAAGAAGCUAACAUAUUUCUAUGUGAUCAAUUUUUGUAUCAUCAAAUUAACCUGAUCUUAAAUGUACAAAUUUCUAUCAUCAACUUUCUGGACCCCAAUGAUAUGAUCAAAACAAAUUUACACCAAUCAACUUUUUGCACGGCUCAAUGAUAUACGAAAGAAUAAAUAAAAUAUGAAAACUGUUACAGCUUUAGGAUUACUCACAAAAACUAAAAUAAUUGAAAUGCAUCAAUUAUUUUCAACUCCUGUACCAGAAGCUAAAAUAACAAUUGUGUCAAAACCUUACCAUCAGUUAAAAUUCAGUCAUCAUGACCUCUACUAUACUCCACAUAACAAAAGACGAUUUUUCUACAGCCAUGCAACAUAACAAAUUUUGGUACAUAAUCCAAUAACAAUUGGAAAAAAAAAAAAAAAACCCUUAAAAUGCAUAAUCAUGAAAAAAGGAAGAAAACCAUCUAUGAUGAAGCAAAAACUAAAACGGUGUCGAAAAAUGAAGCCCUUAAGCCAUAAAAAUCAGUCAACUCAAGUCAUGCAUGGUCUCAGAACCAUGAAAAAAGAUAGAAAAUGACCUUUUUUUUUUUUGUGGUGGCCGGGGUUUGAACUCCGGACCUUGCAUAUUUUAUGCAUUGUCCUACCAACUAAGCUAAGCUCACGAGGACGAAGAAAAUGACCUCUUAUGAAGAAGAAAGUGAAACAGUGUUCCCGACUGAACUUAGAUACCGUUUGGUCAAGGUUUUUUACAUUAUAAAAGUUACUUCAAAACAAAGUAAAAAUAAAGGCCUUUAUGAAAGAAACUAAAGUUAUUUGGUUUUUUUGUUUUGUUAGUUUUAAAGCUAUUUAAGUUUAAUGUUGUUUGGCAAAAUAUUGUACAAACUUUGAAUUUAUUAUUUUUUAUAUGGUGUCUGGGGUUCGAACUCCGGACUUGGCAUGUAUUUAUGCAUUGUUCCUAUCAACUGAGCUAAACUCAUGAGGACAAAACUUUGAAUUUAUUAUUAAUUAACAUAAUAAAUAAAUAAAAUGUUUAGAAUAAUUUAUGAAGGCUAAAAAUGUUAAAAAAAUAAAAGAUAUUUUUUUUACAAAUACGAUAUUUACUCAAUAACGUUUAUUUUGUGUAACAUGAAUACAAAUUAAUAUCAUCAUAUAAAUAACUUGUUAAAUAUUUGAAUAGGAGAAACAAUUUAAGGAGUCUGGAAUAAUAAUAUAAAUAAUAUCAAAAUAUUUGAUUUUUUCUAUUUCAAUUAUACUCUAUAACAAAUUUCGUUAUAAGAAUACCAUAUUUUUUGUGUCUUUCAAAAAGAUAAGAAUUUAUAUUAUAUGAUAUUAUAUUUGUUACAUUGUUGGUGUCAUGGAAACAGAUAUGUUUAAUUUUUUUGAACAUGAAAAUGAUAUGCAUAGUUUGUUACGAUAUAAAGGUGCAAUAUAUAUAUAUAUAUACACCUUUUUAGGCAUCUAUACCUUUUUUUGAAGAAAAGACAUCUACAAUUUUACUUUUAAUUAAAAUUUAAAUUUUAUAAAAAUAAUCAUACGCAUUAUGCAACGCUAAAAAAAAUUAUACACAUUAGCGUAACAAAAAAACAGACACACAUAAAGAAUUACUCUAAACGCUAAUGUGUAUGUGCGUAUAUAUUUGCGAGGUUGAAGAAAGAAAAUACAAAUAUUUGAUAUCAUUAAAUGACAGCGUGAAUAAAAAUAUUUGUGAAGUUGUGAUGAUUAAACGAUAUUGAAAUUAUAAGUGAUAAAAAGAUAAUAAAAUUCCUUUGAAAAAAAGGUAAUAAAAUUAAAUGGAACCUCCUUAAAAAAAAUUAAAUUGAACGCUUCAAAUUAAAUGGAAGAAAAAAAUAUAUUGAAGUAUAAUAUUAAAAAAUAAAAAAAAAGGUUCCCAACGUGAAUUGAAGAGAGAUGCUUGUGAAAUAAAUUGUCGAGAAGUAGUUUUUUGAAGAAGCAUUCAACAACUUUUGGUCAAAGUUCAUUGCAUUCAAUUUUAUGCAUUAAAAAAGGUACAUUUUUUAGAAAGUACUUAAUUGAUAUUGUAUUUGACCUAACUUCUCCUUAAAAAUAUAGGGAAGUUGAAAAAAAAAACCGGGUCAAACGGUAUCUUAAUUUCCCACAACGGCAGUGUAGAAACAACUGAAUUUGGGAGAAAAAAAUUGGAAAAUAGUUAAAAAUAAAAAAAAUUGAAAAAUAGUUAAAAAAAAUCGGUGAGGUAGCACCUAACCAAACAACACUAAAAAAAAUUAUAUGCAUCAGCGUAACAAAAAAACAGACAGACGGACAUAAAAUAUUACUCUAAACGUUAAUGUGUGUGUAUAUAUUCGCGAGGUUGAAGAAAGGAAAUAAAAAUAUUUGGUAUCAUUAAAUGACAGCGUGAAUAAAAAUAUUUGUGAGGUUGUGAUGAUUAAACAAUAUUGAAAUUAAAAUAAUUAAUAUUGUGUUUGACCCAACUUCUCCUUAAAAAUUUAGAGAAGUUGGAAAAAAGUCGGGUCAAGCGAUACCUUAAUCUCCCACAACGGUAAUGUAGAAGCCACUGAAUUUGGGAGAAAAAAUUGGAAAAUAGUUAAAACUAAAAAAUAAAAAAAUCGGUGAGGUAGCACCCAACCAAGCAACACCAAAAAAAAAUUAUAUGCAUUAUCGUAACAAAAAAAUAGACAAACAGACAUAUAAUAUUACUCGAAACAUUAAUGUGUGUGUAUAUUCGCGAGGUUGAAGAAAGGAAAUAAAAAUAUUUGAUAUCAUUAAAUGACAACGUGAAUAAAUAUAUCUGUGAGGUUGUGAUGAUUAAAUAAUAUUUAAAUUAAAAUAAUUGAUAUUGUGUUUGACCUAACUUCUCCUUAAAAAUGUAGAGAAUUUGGAAAAAAGCCGGGUCAAACGAUACCUUAGUCUCCCACAACGGCAAUGUAGAAGCAACUGAAUUUGGGAGAAAAAAUUGAAAAAUAGUUAAAAACAUAAAAAUUGGAAAAUAGUUAAAAGUUAUUAAAAAUUAGAAAAUAAUUUAAAAAAUUGGUGAGGGGCAAAAUGGGAAAUUUGGCAUAAAAAAGAUGAGGUGGCACCAAACCAAACCCACCAAUUAGAAAAUUACUUAAAUGCCCAUUCCAGGGACAAAAUGGGAAUUUCAUAUGGCAUCAAUUUUAAUAGAGUAUAUAGACCACUCACAUUACACAAAUGUUGAAAUAUAUGAUGCAUAUUACUUUUUAAAUUUUUGGUUUAUAGUUGCAUUUUUUUUAGGGUUAAUAGUGUUUUUCACCCUUGUAAUAUAUGUCAUUUUCGGUUUUCGACCCUAUAAAAUUUUUAGUUUUAUUUUAACCCUCGUAAAAUUUUUAUUUUCCGGAAAAGACCCUUAAUAGGCCAUUCAAAAACCAAAAUUUCUUGAAAAAAAUUCUGAAAAUGGCCUAUUAGGGGUCUUUUCCGGAAAAUAAAAAUUAUACGAGGGACCACCUGUUGAGAAACCACCUGUACACAAGCCACCAGUUGAGAAGCUACCUGUUUACAAGCCACCUGUAGAGAAACCUCCGGUGUACAAGCCACCUGUUGAGAAGCCCCCAGUUUACAAACCUCCAGUAGAGAAGCCUCUAGUGCACAAGCCACCAGUUGAUAAACCACCUGUACACAAGCCACCAGUUGAGAAGCUACCUGUUUACAAGCCACCUGUAGAGAAACCUCCGGUGUACAAGCCACCAGUUGAGAAGCCCCCAGUUCACAAACCUCCAGUAGAGAAGCCUCCAGUUCACAAACCUCAAGUGGAGAAGCCACCUGUAUACAAGCCACCAGUUGAGAAGUUUCCAAUUUACAAAC